RNAcentral lists this long non-coding RNA (66664 nucleotides) under Malus domestica (apple). Its description in RNAcentral is "long non-coding RNA (MDOM_LNC005733)". The record is from RNAcentral. Lineage: Eukaryota; Viridiplantae; Streptophyta; Magnoliopsida; Rosales; Rosaceae.
ACCAGAUUACCCCGCUUGUCGCAAAAUUGAAUUGUGGUUGAUUACAGACCACUCCAUCUACGAGCGAGCCUAAAAGUCACCAACUUAUUGACUCAAACAUGGGUGUCAUGAUCCAUACCAAUUGCCACCUGCUCACCCCUUCAUGGAAGAAGCUCUCCCCCAAGAUGCAAGAGGAGAUGAGGAAAGAGAUUUUGAUAAGUAUGGAAUUUUUUUUUUUUUUUUUGCUUUUACUUAUUUUGUGUAGUCCAUAUGUCACCAUUUCAUUGAAUCAAUAUCAGGGACCAUUUGCGAUAAAAAUCGUUAUUUUGUGUAAUCAUGCGUCACCAUUUCAUUGAAUUUAUAGGGUAGUAAGUGUCAAGGACGACAUUGAUUGUCUUAUGCCCCCCCCCCCCCCCGAAACAGCAGUUAAAAGACUUGAGUCGAAAAACUAUAUGGAAGAAGCAAGCCUCAAGACUUAUUAAAAUGAAUGCCCAAAAGGUAAGAUCAAGGUGAAAUAGUUCACAAGUUGCUAGGGUGCAGUACCAUUCAAAACAUUACAUCCAGGGAUUCAAAGGCUGAGAUCGCAUAUCACAUUAGUAGAAAAGAUGAAAAGGUGGACCUGUUUUGUCUAGGUAGCUUGGUAAUGUAGGAUAGAUAUUUGAAUGUCGCUAGGGUUAGCGGGGGGUCUGCUAGAUAGACAUUAUCGAAUAGCACAUUUUGAUGAGAGAUAUGAACAAGUGGCUUUGACAAAACUAGUGUUUUCUGAAUUAUAUGAAGCCAGUAAGCAAAACAGUGAAUCCAUAGGUAUUUGAACCUGAGUAUCCAGGAAAAUGUAGAAUAUUUGAUAGAAGAAUAGAAUAUCCUUUUGAACAACCUGAUUUAAUAGGAAAGCUUUAUAUCUUGAAAUUAAUUCAUCAAGUUGAUAAUAAAAUAUGUGGACGUUCCAGUGGACAUUAUGCACUUGUUACACAACAACCCCUUAUAGGAAGGGCCAAGCAAGGGGCACAACGGGGUAAAGUUUGAAAUUUAUUAAUUCUAUGAUUUAUGAUUCAAUUUUUUUUUUUUUAAGAUACUAAAGAAUAAAAAUCUGAAAGCUUUUCUUUGUGGUUAUAAUGCCAAAAAAAUCAAGUCGGCUCAUUCGUCUAUAUAUUGAUUGUUACAGGCCUCUUGAAUUUGAAAGUGAAUGACCAAAAUGAUGAGUUUGAUCAAUUUCAGGGACCAUGAGUAAUAAAAACCCUUAAAUGUAUUUUUUUAAACUAAUACACUUGUUUUGUGGUCUAUUUCAAACCAACUUCUCUAUCGACAUGCAGCACCUAGGUACGAAGGAGUAUACAAUUUAGGUGUGGACUAAGCUCCUACUGAUCCACCCCUAAAGUUUGCAAAGAUGAUUGACUAGUGAGAAUGGUUAUGCAGUUAUUUUUAGAAAUUGGAAUUUUUUAUAAGCUUUUUUUUUAAUUUAAUUCUAUUGUUUUGUUUUUCUAUUUAAGUUUUUUUUUUAAAUUAAUUUAUUUUUAUAAUUUACGGUAGAAAUCGAUAGCAAAUAAGGUUAACGGGGAAGAUAAGUCGUACCUUCAUCGCUCUGGUUCUUGGCCCUUCACUUCCCGAGUUGAAGAACAGCGUGAUGAGGGUUCGCUUUUCCCAAAAGUCGAGGCAUAGGAGCAUACGUAUGUCAAUUAUGGCAACCAAGUGGCAGUCAACAUUUAUGUAUGUAUUUUGUUCAAAAUUUUAAUUUUUACACAAAAUUUAGAAUUAUGAUCGACAAUCUUAAUUGGUUUUUUUUAGGCUUCUAUGUUGCAGAAAAAGGAUGAGUACCUCACCAACCUCUCCUAGCAGCAACCGGACACGCCAAUGGAGGAGCUGGCACCUGAUCCAGGGUUUUUUUUUUAUAGGCUUCUAUAGUUGUUGAUGGACAAGGUUGGAUGACGAAAAGGCAAAUAACUCUGCGACCUAGAAGCGGGGGGGGGGGGGGGAGGGGGGGAUCUUCUUCAUCUAGUAUCAACCUUGACGCAGAAAGUUUUUCAGACUCCAACAGUUAGAGAUUGAGCUAGCAGACCUAUGACAACGAGAAAAAGAAGCUUGGAAAGAAGUGUGCUAGUGAGAAAAGGGCCUUCUGCAGUACAUUGUUAGGAUGAAGAAAUGGAAACCCCAGGCAUUGCCUUCCUAGUCCUCUGAGCAACCUUUAGCCACCAUCCCACUAGCCAGCUCACCAACGACCCAAUAGUCGUAGUUGGUUUAGGAUUUUUUGUAUAUGAAUAUUUUAUUUUUAAUAUAAUUAACUAUUUUAUCAUAUUGUGAUUAUUUAGGUUAACAUAAUUUAAGUUCCAAUUAAAAAUAAUAAAAUUAAAAGGUCUGCCUGACAACUACUUUCAUGUGGCAAAAUAUUUUAAUUUUUUUAUUUUAUGGAAACCCAAUGAAAUAAUUGCGUAGGCCAAGAUUCAUUUGUCGGGCGAACUUGGUUAUGUUAGGAUGCCAGAUGGUAUCAUGUUAUGGUGUUUAGUUACUAGUUUUAGAGUUAGUGAUUACUACAAACAAUAUCUUGUAUAAGAAGAUAGGCAAUUAAUGAAAUAUAGUAUAAGCCAGUUUUCGUUCCUCUCAAUCCUUCUCCAUUGUAUGACGAGCAAAACAUCGCGCAAAACCAUGGAAUCGCGAGUUUCCAAUCUAGAAACUGUGUUCGACGAAUUUAAGAACAAAAUCAAGAUUACCCAAGGCUUCAUUCUUCUUCAAUUGCAGUCCCUAGUGGCGAAGUGUAAUGAAGGUUCUCUUAGGGAAUCUUCGGAAGCUACUCUUGGUGAUCCACAUCUCCAAGAGGCGAUAAACCCUAAUUUCGGCCCCGAUUCUCAGCGUUACGAUUUAGUACCAAAUUUGUGGCGACCAUUCAUCAAAAUGGUGUUCUCUGUUCUGAAAUCGAAUAAAAAUGUUCUCAUGCUUCAAUCCUUCCACGAAAGAUUCAAGCCCGAGAGAAAGCAUAUGAGCUCUUUCUAAAUUUCGUCCAAGAUACAAGCCCAAGACUUAUCCUUGUUUAAGACUCGUAUUAAAGAAAUUCAAGAAGGUUCGAAACUACGUCAAACAACACAACGAUGGUUCUGCAACGUUUCGUUCCAAUCCCAAAUUUCAAGAAAGUUUUGGGUAUUUUCUUAAUGAUUUGGAUAGGCAAAAUGAAAGGUUUUUUUUUAUUUAAUUGACAAGAAAGCUGAAGAUUUUGUGAUAGUUUCUCCAGUUCUUCAUUUUGAUGGCAUGGAAUACAAGGUUCAAGCUAUCGUUUUUGGGUUCUGCAUUUCCUAACAGCUUGGCUACUGCUUUUGGAGAUAAAUUCAAUCUGUUUUGGACAACGCCUUUGUUUAUUUGUGAAUCUAAUUGUAAGAAUGAAUUGGCCCAGGAUUUCGUUUUCAAAAUUUCUGUUUUUGAUGUUGGGUUCAUGAAAAAGGAUUCAUCUACACUCCAAGUGUUUGAUGAAAGGUCGUACUCAACAAAUGAUUAUGAUCUUCAAUUAGGCUAUCAUAUGCCAAUUUCCGACACUGGGGGUACAAAUAUUUGUGGGCGUGGUUUGUUUCGAAAUUUUAGAAAAGUGACGAAUUUGAGAUAAUCACAUGGGGUUUUGUGGGUUUCUAUCAGUUUAUGCAAGCACAACCCUCAAUUGUUGAGAAUGAAUGCCAGAAAGACCUGGAUGGAAUGUAUGCCCACAAUGUGUUUGUUAGAAUGCAGCAAACAACAGACAUUGUUUCUUUGAAGCUUGGGUUCCAUGUGUCCAUUUGUGAUAAAGGCGGAAGAACAACUAUUCAAGGGCUCUUUAAUUCGAAAUCUACAAGGGAAGUUGAAACCAUUUCGAUGUUACAAAUGCUUCUGCUUAACUAGUUGAUGAAAUGUGGUUUUUUAGUGGGUUUUAUAAUGAUGUAAUUGUUGCUGUUGGUUUUGAGUUCAACUACCUUAUGGAAAUUCAGGACAAGGGUGGAGGGUCUCAAUUAGAUCUGAGUAUAAGAUGUUAUAAAGAACUUAUCCAAGGAAAAUGAAAUAUUUCAACUUAAUGAACAUGAUUUUAAGUCUGCAUGUGUAGAAAAUAAAGGAUAUAAAGAUGUUAGUGAGUCUGCAGUUGCAAAAUAACAGCUGAUAUUAAAGAACAUUAUCGGGAAAGGCAUCUAAAGUACAACUUCCAUGUCUUGGUUAUUAACCGAUGGAAGAAUGAUGACAAUGAGAGACCCUGAUAUUCUUUACCAUCUUAGUAGAGAAUAUAUUGGCCAGAGAAAAUGGGAUCCUGACUUCAAUGGUGCAAAAAUGAUGCUUGAGUUAGUAGAUGGGUAUAAUGUUUCAACUGCAAAACAUUGUCAGCAUUUGUUUUUACUUCAUAUUGAUGUUUGCUUAAAGUGAUGGGGAAGAAGGCAACAAAUAUUUAGAAGGGAGUUUGAAUUAUUUUGAAAGGAAGUCAGAAUGUGAGGAAGCAACGAAAUUUUAAGAUUACUCCACAGUAAAUAUCAUUGCUCAUUUUUUUGGAGGGUGUAAUGUCGAGUUAUUUUUCAGCAGUAAGCGACUGUAGAUAGGAGAACGAUCAAGAAGGACAAUGAUGUUGCUACUCAAAGUGUGAGUCCAAUGGCAGAACCAUUCCAAGGAUGAUGUUACUUGGGAGUUGUAUCAUGAUUUGAAGCUCAAGUUUCCAGAAAUUGUUAAUCAUUGAGCUGUUAUGUUUUCAUUGUGUAGUUUCGUACUUGGCUUUUAUUUCCUUAAGUUCUGUUUUAAGAGGGGGUAUUAUUAGGAUGCCAGAUGACAUCAUCUUGUGGUGACAAAUGUACAAUGGAUAUUAAUAGUUAGUUACUAGUUGUGUCAUGAUGAAGAUGUCUAUCCUUUAGGUAAAUAAGCAAUUUAGUUUUAGGUAGUACAAAAGAGGCUCAGAAGACAAUACAGACUCAUGCCAUUGUUCACUUACCAGACUUAAGAGUACCUCCUCAAGAUCAUGAACAGUUUUCUCAUAGUAUUCAAGAGGUCAAUACAUUUUCAGUUACAGAUAACAGUGCAAAUUUAGUUUCAAGUAUCAGUAGUCUAGAAUCUCCUACUAAUGGUGUUCUCAGUUCAAUGCAAGAGGAAUAUAAUCCACUCAGGGCUCAAGGAACAUGGAUUUUAGUGCCACCUCCAGACGAUAGAGCCAUUGUUGGAAGUAAGUGGGUAUACAAGGUUAAAAAAAAACUCAAAUGCGGUGUAUUAAGAUAAAAAGCCAAACUAGUGGCUUAAGGUUUUUCUCAUGAGCAUGGUAUUGAUUAUCUGGAUACUUUUAGUCUUGUUGUAAGACGUACAAUAGUUAGGAUGGUAUAAGCCUUGAUUGUUGUUAAUCAUUGGGAUCUUAGGUAAUUAGACCUUAAAAAUGCCUCAUGCAUGGUGAUUUACAGGAAGAGAUGUAUAUGAAACAACCUCAGGGCUUUGUUGAUGCUACUUAUCCCACAUAUGUAUGCAAAUUGAUCAAGUCAUUAUAUGGUUUAAAGUAGGCCCUAAGAGCAUGGAUCUCAAAGUUUACAAAGUUACCUAGCAACUUUGAAUUUCAUUGUUUCUUCUUCUUCUUAUACAAGUCUAUUUGUGAAGAAUGAUGGUUCAUAUAUGGUUAUUCUGUUACUAUAUGUGGAUGAUAUCACCAUUACUGGUUCUAUCCCAUCAAAAGUACAAUUGGUUAUUCAAGAACUCUCUGAAAUGUUUGAACUCAAGAAUAUGGGUAAGCUGACCUAUUUCCUAGGAUUACAGAUCAAUUAGAAGUCAAAUGGUGAUAUGUCAGUAAAUCAAUCUAAAUACAUUUAAGGCUUGAUUCACGAAGCAGGAAUGGAUUCAUGUGAGUCUGUAGCUAUACCUUAUUAACCUUAUAUUAGUUAUUUGAUGCAGAAGGUACCUUAUUGACAGAUUCAAUAGUAUACAAAAGUUUGGUUAGUUCAUUGCAGUAUUUGACUUCACUAGGCCCUACAAUGCUUUUGCAGUAAAUUCAGUAUGCCAAUUCAUGACUGCACCCACUGAAUUGCAUUAUGGAGCUGUCAAAAGAAUUCUUAGAUAUCUCCAAGGUACAAUUACCAUGGGAUUACAUAUUCUGCAGACACAUUAGUUUAGUUUACUGCAUUUUCAAACUUAGAUUGGGCUGCUAAUCUUAAUACCAAAAGAUCAGUGACUGGUUAUGUGGUGUUUUUGGGAUCCAAUCUCUUGGCAAUCAAAGAAGCAAAGCUCAGUGUCUAGAAGUUCAACUGAAGCUAAAUACAAAGCUCUAUGACAUACUGCAUCUGACAUUACUUGGGUGAGAAAUAUUUUGAAAGAUUUAGUUGUUGCUUUGUCUAAUCCUCCAGUGAUUCAAAUAUGUUGCAAUUGCAUUAAGUGUAAAUCCUGUAUUUCAUUCAAGAAUAAAGCACUUAGACACAAACUACCAUUAUGUAAGGGAGAGAGUUUAGAAGAGAGAUUUGGAAGUGGUGUAUAUUCCAACAGAUGAACAAAGAAGUGGUGUAUAUACUAACAGAUGAACAAAUUGCAGAUGUAUUGACUAAAGGACUUCACAAUCCAGCUUUUGUUAGACACUAUUACAAUCUUCAACUUGGAAGCCCCAGUUGAGAUUGAGGGGGGAUGUUGAAGAUAAAACCAUAUCAGCUAAAUGCCACAUCAGCAGAAGAGUGCCACCGCAGCUAAAGUUUGUCAGAGAAACUUUAGACUGUUAGUAGUUGUUAGAGUGUUAAGACUGUUAGCUAUAGCUUAAGACAUAAGAAGGCUCAUGAGAGUGGACCUGAGGAUUAGAAAUGCAGAGCUCUUAUCAAGAAUCCAAUGAGUCUGCGAAAUCCAAAUUGCACCAGAUAUGUGGAUCAAAUUAAUAUUAAUUGGAAUUAGGGUUCCAAUAUGCUUAAGCCUUGAGCUCCAAAAUGAGGUUAUUUCAGCAAAACUUAAAGAUUAACAUGCACCAAAAAGAUCAACGAGAACAGACAUGUCAUAAUGCGACGUAGAAAUUUCCGAUAAAAACUUUCGACAGACUUUCGACAACCAAGUUGCACAUAUAAGACGUAUCUCCCACAGAUUUUUCUUUCUCUUCGUAAUUCAAUGGUUCUGGUGGAAGUCCGUCAGUUUCAUAGGACUUGUGACCUAGCUAUAUUAUAUAUCUUAUAUUAUGUAUAUGUCCUCUUGUCUAUGAUGGCGAGGAGAAAGGAAGCGGAUUGGCUAAAAGGAGAUAAGUAUGGUGACAAAUGUGCUUCCUUUUUGGCCAAAAAGAUUUGAGGGAAAUACUAUUGACUUUUUAUGAGGACAAAAUUUUCUACCAAAUGAUGGAAGAUUGAACACAAGGAUCCCUUUCACGUCUAUUGAAAAAUGAUUGUUUUUAGAAAGUUGCUAACUUGUACAGUUUUACUAGAUGGUUGGUCGAUUUUCUCAUACAACAAUUUAUCAUAUUCACUAAACAAAUUAAUAUAGGACUACUUGUAAGUUGUAUACACGAGUUACCUAGCAAGGGCAAUUUUAUAACAACAAAGUUGAUCCUUAAGCCACUUUUAGCUUGUUAAAUGUGUACGUUCACAAGUGUUUGCGUGUUUAAUAUAAAGGAGGAAAUUUUCCUUUUAGACAUAGAUUUUACCAAAUUAAUCCUCUCAUAGAUGAGAUAUAUAUAUAUAUAUAAUGUUUAUGAAAUAUUGUUCAAGUUUAUAUACAUUAUUCACCUAUCUUUUAAUGGUUCAAGUUUUAGUAACAUUUAGUAAGAGUAUUUUCUCCCGGUGAAUUUGGUUAAGUGUUGGAUAUGAUAAUCAAAUUGUCAGUAACCUCUCGACAAUGUUUAAACAUCUUCCAUUUUGCUCUCAUUAGAGCGUCGUCGAAUCGGUAACAUUCUAGAGAAGACCUAAAUUGAGGACUUGCUUGUUGAAUCACAUGAAAAAUAUAAAAUCCUCAACUUAUGUCGACAUCAAUCAAUCUUUCCAAGUUACUCACUUUUUCCCAAGGUGGAAUCAUUCCUUGUGAUGUGAGUUUCAACUAUCUAUACAUUUAUCCAAGACUCAGUAAUCAUAAAUUCUGCUUUUGAUGAUAAUAUUCGAGAAGAAAAGGAAGCAUGCAGAUGCAGUUUCAAAGGGACAAAUCAUGCAAAACGAUUGACUGCAAUAACCUUCAAACUUGAUUUCUACAUCAACCAUAAUUCGAUGGAUUUUCAUGCGGCUUAUGCUUAUUAUUAUGAUAUUGGACCUCCCACUUCAGCAGAUUAAGCAUAACUAAUGGUUGAGAAUGGAUAACAUAGGAUGGUGCCCAACUUUAUAUAACACCUUCUGCUGCUGGCACUCAUCAGCCAUCACUCGUUCAUGCAUAUGCAUCAAUCUACACCCAUCAUUCAAUAAGCGUUCGAGCUAGCACACUUUUGAUGAAAAUAAAUAAAUAAAACAUCAUAUUUCUUAAAGGACCUUAAUGAUUCAAUAUCAAUGAUAUAUAUUUCGAGUAAUGCUAGGGAGAUCAAAUUUUUUUAAACUAAAUUUACAAACCAAAUGAUGUGGUUAUAGAUGAUUAGAUUGUUAAUGAAAUGUCGAUUAACAUGCUUGUUUAUUAUUUGGGACACGUAAUUUGAUUUUAAAAUUUGGUCUUUCUAGCAUUUAUCCAUUUCUAAAAGAAUGUAUACUAUUGAAAUGAAACAUCAAAAUCAUACAUCCUUCAGAAAGGAGAAUCCAAUGUCGAGAAAGUGUAAUCAAAUGCAACUUGUAGGGAAAAAAAAAAAACCAUAAUUAGAAAUAUGAAAAGUCAAAAAUGAGUGAGGGAAAUUUACUUAUGUAGAACUUCUUAUAAAUGUUCAAUGAAAAAUAAUUUUUUUUCCUCUAAAACAGGCAAUAAAGAUGAACUUAAUGGACACUAAAGAGACACUAAAAUGACUUAUAACUUAGGUGGUUAAACAUAUUCAAUCUUUACCUAAGGUCUCGAGAAUAAGCUGAAGUGAUGCGAUACAUAAUGAAACAAAAUGAAAUACUUUAACGAUACAAGAGGAGAAUUUUGAUUCCCACAUCCUCCGAUAUCUCUUCUAGAGAAAAAUGGGACACUAUUAUUGACUAUGUAGUGUCUUUUAGUGAAAGUUCUAAUAUACGUUGAAGAUUUGUUAAGAGAUGAACCAAUCCAUUUAUAUUUCCAAAUAAGUAGUAAAGGGAACUAAAAGCUUGUGUGUAUUGGAAUUAGAAUUUGUUAAGGCGAAUUUGAACCACAUCAUUAUGAGCUUAUUGUGAAGCCAAAUUCAUCCCUCCCUCUUAAUGUAGAUAAUAUCGUUUGUUCAAAAAAAAAAAAAGGGUCAAUACACGGUGUUUGGUGUGCUUGAAUUAAUGAUGGUUUGUCUUAUGCCUAAGACAGAAUGUUAUUUACAUAUCUCUGUCAAGCCUGUGAGAUCUUCUGGCUAGAAACUACUUCAGACAAAUUGGUGGGCCUUUAGGAUUUGUUUGCAAAGGAUAUGUGGGGGAAAUUAGCCGUAUCGAAUUGAGCCGAAGCUUGAGAGCCAGGCACAUAAUUAUAAUAUAAUGUAAAAUAUUGGUUAAUCUAAUUACUUGGUAGGGCAUGCUAGGGAAUCGCUAGUCUCAAUUUUUUUUUUUAGAAACCAGUCUCAAAAAGCUUAAACGCCCAUAUUGUAGAAGAGCGAGACAAACAUGUAAGUGAAGCCUCACCAAGAGCUUUGUAAAUCAAUAAAGAUGUGGGGAAUGAAGAUCAAACUCAGGAACACUUGUAAACAAGAUUCUGAUACGAUAUCAAACAUCUUUUAAGAGGAUUCACGGCAUGUUAAAUCAUGUUAAGGUUCUUUGCUAUGCAUCGGAGUAAACCACAUGCUCCACCGCUGCUACAGUCCUCCUCAGUUCUUUGAGUUUCAUUCUUCCACAUUGUACUCCAGAAAUAAAUAUAGAAACAAAUAUAUAGAAGAAGAAAAUAGUUUUAUGAAAACUAUUUUGAUCAAAAUUAAAAGGGAACUUUCAUGAAAAGGGCUUGGGCUAAAUUUAUUUUAACAAAAAACCAUGCUAUAACUUUAUUAAAUAAAGAUUCGACGUAAACUAGGAGUGCUGGCUGUCAACUACCUGACGCCCUCCCCCUCCUCCUUUAUCCGGGCUUGGGAUCGGCAAUGUAAGAUAAACUUACACAGACGGAGUUUAUAACUUUAUUAAAUGAAAAAAAAAAUUAAAUUUUAAUGAAAAACCCUUAAAUUUUAAUAAAAAUGACAAAAAAUAUAAAUUUUAAUGAAAAUGACACAAUUAUAAAAAAAUAAAAUAAUAAUAAUAAUAAUAAAAACUGACACACGGGACAUGUACACUGUUUAUGAAACUGAACACUAUUUAUGAAACUGAACGGUACUAUACUAUUUAUUGGUCAAAUUUCAUAAAUAGUGCCUAGUUUUUUGUCCACUUUCAUAAAUAGUGUCUAGUUCUUGGUCAUAUUUCGUAAAUAAUGCCUAGUUAUUGGGCCCAGUUUCAUUAAUAGUGUCUCUUUCUUGGUUCAAUUUCAUAAAUAGUGUCUAGUUAUUGGUCUACUUUCAUAAAUAGUGCCUAACUCUUGGUCAGGUUUUUAUAACUAUUGUCUAAUUCUUACUCCAGUUUCAUAAAUAGUUUCCACCUAUCGGUUUAGUUUUGGAAAUAAUGCAUAAUUCUUGUUUUCGUUUUUGUUUGGGCCCAAAAUAAUAGUUUGGGCCGAGUAUAGAAUCAUUCUCGGCCCGGAAGGCCUUGCGAUAAGAAUGCCAUGGAUCGUUCAGCACGUGGGCCUCUAAACCUAGGUCGGCUAGGUCACAACACAAGACAAGUCGAGUCCUAGUGCAAUAGGGAGUCUCGGUAGGAUUAAUAACCCGGAAGCGAAUCCGGCUGGAUUAAGGACUAGGUUCACAAUCCUAGUGAAAAUAGGACUGGCCGAGUUGGUGCUGAUCAGGAGAAGAAGACCUAGUCCGAGUAGGGUUUUAACCCGACCUUGGGUGGAACCGUUGCUAUAAAUAGAAGAGGCUGUGCAUCAUUCAAGCCCCCUGCAAAUCAAUACAAAACUGCCCUGCGCAAACUCUCAACAACUUGAGAUUUUUUCUUUCUUUUUCGCUGACACAUCUUCCGUUGGCAUCAACAGCACUGUGGAAGCAACCGAUGAUAUCUUAAGUCGGCAUAGAUAGCUCUAUCACCGUAGAAUCAGUCGAUCUCGCAGCAUCUUCCGUUGGCAUCAACAGCACUGCGGCGAGAACGGUUGGUUACCUAUCCAAGUCUCGGUCGAGGAGGAUUUCCGGGUCCUUAUUGAUUGAGGUCAUCUCAUUAGCCUUCUCGGCGAAGUGAGGUGUUACGGUAUAUCGAGCUCGGCGCAUUGCACGCCGAGUUGUUUUAUGAUUGGAUACUCCCAAGUAGGAUUUAGAGUUCGGCAUUCGGACGGCCGAACCACGUUCACCAUCAAGACUUAUAUCUGUUUUGAGUAUUUAUGCCCUUACACUUUGGUGUCGAUUCGGCGAGAGUUUACUCUGACGAAUAACAUCACUGUGACCGAGUCCGACGACGACGAUUCGUGAACUUCGUAAAGAAUAGUAACCUUGUCUUCAGGUUCGAGAACCCAAGAGGCCGAGACGUGUUCCUUCCUCGGUCGCAAUCACAAGACGUAGAAGUCAGCCGCGCACCCAACGCAACACCAACAAAUUUACUCCUUGGCCAAGCUCGGUCGACGAGUUGGCACGCCCCGCAUUCAUCGAAGGACGUAGUUAGCCUGUAGAUUACUCGGCCUGCGCGCCACGUAGGCUUGGUAGUUUCUAGGGUCAACAGUUUUAUAAAUAGUGUCAACUUAUUGGUCCAGUUUCAUAAAUAGUCUCUACUUAUUGGUCUAGUUUCAUGAAUAGUGUCUACUUAUUGGUCAAGUUUUAUAAAUAGUGUUUAAUUCUUGGUUCAAUUUCAUAAGGUUUGAAACUUAGACCAUUUUUGGUUCUGUAAAAGCACCCAUUGCGCAGAAAACGAUGAACACAAAAGUGAUCUUUUAGAUCAAAACCUUGCAAAGAUUAUGUUCUUAGUAAUUAUAUUUAAAAAGCUAUUUUCAAUUACCAAAUUAAAAUUUCCUCACAUUUUUUACAUACCUACAAUAAUAAAUAUAGCUCUCCAUACAAUUUCUUGAGCUUGGGUAUCAUCUUGGAGAAAUUUUUCCUUGUGCCCAUAAUACAAAAUGGUAUACCAUGUAUUAAUAUGUAAGUGGUGGAAAAUUUUAUUUUUUAUGUUAUUAAUCUUUUAACACAAGAAUCUCAUAACUUGUAUAAAGACAAGUGGUGUACUAUCCCGUGUUCCGAGCAUAUUGAAAAAAAUUUCAUCAUCAUGAAGACUACUAUUGAAAAACAACACCACAAAAAUAAAGCUAGAGAAUGUAAUUCAAUUUGAAGUAUUUUAAGCAAAAAAAAAAAAAAAUAUAUAUAUAUAUAUAUAUAUAUUAAUUAGCUGACAAUGAGAGAAAAAAGUGGAAUGUGGAGGGGGGGGGAGGGAGGUGACGCGCCCAACACAAGUUAGGUUAUAUAUAUAUAUAUAUUGUUCUUAUUAUUAAAUAAAUAAAUAAAGUUGAUGAAUGAUUUUUAAGUAAAAUGUAAAGAUUUAAAAAAAAAAAAUUAUUAGUUUUCCUAAAUUAUAAAAGCAUUCUACUUGUCCUCACAAUUGGUCACGACCAGCCACACAUCGUGGUCUUUCAAAUUUGAGCCCAUCUAAUUAAAUAAAAGUUGGGAGCCCACUUGGGUCAUUUAGGGUUUGCAAUAAGGAAAGGCCAUUGCAUAUCCUGCACCUGCACUACAUCGUCAUUCAUUCUUUCUCUCAACAACGUUAGCCUGCUUGUUUUUGCUUUAUUUUCAGCUUGCCAUCUCACACAUGGCAAUUUUCACUGACCAAAUUGUGGCGUCAACAAAGCUGAGAAUCUGGUGCAUUUUUAACUUGGUUUCUUCACAACCAUAAGACCAUAAGGGAUGUAAUUCAAAUACAACUUUUCACAUGUAAAUAUGUACAAUGAUCUGAUCUGAGUAAAAACAUUAUUAAAGACAAAAAUUGGGACGGAGGAGUAGAUCACACUUCAAAGUUACACUUUUAACAGUUUCAGGAUUUGAGCAGAAGAGAAGCUUACAAUGUAAAACCAGGUCAAGCUGUGAAAUGUCGGCCUAUUUUGAUUCAUUUGGUGAACUUAAAUCGCAACAGAGGGUGCCUGAAAUGUAAACCUCGGGUGUUGAUGAUUGCCUUCAUAUGUAACAACCAACAUGUUAGGAUCCUCCAAGCAUCGUUCGACAUGCUUUCGUGCAGGACAUCCUCGCACACAGCUGCAUUUGUAAUAACUCCUUUGAAACCAAAAGCAUGAUUGGACAGACAUAUCAGCUAAACCCUUGGCAAUGGUUAAGCAUAACAUUCAGAUUUUGUACUUAAUUGACCAUUAGUUGGUGAUAAAACAUCGAAUCUAUGCUUUACUAGCAGGACAAUGACAAGAUAUGCACGCAUACAUGAUAGAAGCGUAUGCAUGAUAGAAUUAAACAUAUAUAUACACAUCAAAUAAUCUUAACGCUGAGAUUGGAAACCGGUGCAGCUUAAUGGUUAGUGGUUAACUUGUAUGCAGUUUAGGAGACUUUUCGAAAUCUAUAUGGAAAUGAAAAUAAUAACAUAGAAAUACCUAGGAUAUGGAGACCCUUUGAUAGGCUUCUGCCCAUACUUCCUCCAAGAAUAGUCAUCAGGAGGUAUAUCAGCUAGCUUAUUGCUCACAGCCGGAACUCGUAUUCUUCUCUUUAUUCUCAGUUUCCUGUGAGGAUGAACAAACAUAAGAGAUUAGUAACCUUUAGCAAGCAACAAGAAAACAGCAAACAAAAAAAACCAAUUAUAAAAUUGUAUAAAAAACAACAAAAAGCAGUCAUGUAUAGGAUUGUAUUUUAAUUAGGACUGAAAUACCUUCUCUUUGAGCAAUGACAUCCACCGGUAGAGGCUAAACAUCUUGUACUGGCUUCUUCACACUUCUUUUUAGAAGAAAACAUAGAGUCGCUAUCUCGAGAAGCGAAGAGUUCAGACGAAGAAUAGUGAAUCAUCCACGUCUGCGUGUUAAUGCUACUUCCGUCCAUACUGAUCAAAGAAGUACUAGGCUUCUGUGAGAAUUGGUUCAAACCCAUGAUCAAAUUAUUAGGAAGAACCACACUGGUUUCACAGUGGCCUUGUUGCAAUGCCAGGCUCGGUUUUCGCUCUCUACCCAUGCUAAAGCCAUUACUGCGGAUCACAUUUGCAGCUACAUGAUCACUCUGAUGAGUAUUACUAAACAACUGUCUAAACCCUAAGCAAGGGUGAUGGGAUUCCAACAGUUCAACCUGGUUUAUGCCAUGGGAUUCGGGCAGUGGACCCCUUCUGAUCCUCUUCUGAUUUGAUAAGAUUGAUCCAUCAAGGAGAGUAAGCAGUUUGCGGAAUUCGUUUACUGCAUCUUGAGCAAACAGGCUUACUUCUUGAGCACUUCUCUUAUGCUUUUUCUCAGAGAUGCAACCAAAGAGGCGAUGGGCAUGCUUCAAACUGCUUUGAGCAACCUCAUGAAUUGUGAAAUCCAUUCCUGGGUUCCUUGAAAGACAGACACCUGAUUCCCUUUCCAUGAUUCAAUUGCAGAUUAAUAUUCAUGCAAAUUAUGCAAUCGCAACCUCAAUAUUCGGGCAUAUCAAUGUGACUCUGUGAUAAGGGUAAAAGCAACGUGGCAGAAACCACCCAAUGUAGUGUGAUGCUUUAGUGGAUAAAAUAUUCAUCAUCCACUUCAUCAGAUCUUUGGUUAUAUUUUGAAAUAAACAAGAGCUUGCUGCCCAGAUAGUCAAUGGUGCCUUAAGUUUCACAACCCACUAAGUCACUAACCAAUACAAUAUCUGACAAAUCUUACAUUGAUUGAGAGAGAGAGAGUGGAGUACAGGGAAGAAUGAUAAAUUGCAUGCUUCAUCUGUUUAAAAAUCAUAAAUUUUAAUAAUAAAUUGCAUGCUUCAUCUAUUUAAAAAUCAUAAAUCUCAAUAGGAUGUUGAAAAAAGUAUAUACUAAUACUUCGUCUUUACAGUGAUGACGUGCUAAUCAUAAAUGGGGGAACAAGUAAGUUCACACAUGAAAGAAUGCAAUCAUUUUUCAUCUAUAAGAUCAUAACUUAGUGUCGCUUAAAGUAUCGCCUUUUAAAAAUCUAAAAUUGACUAACAAAAUAAAAUGUUGUUUAAUCCAUUUUCAAUAUCUGGCUGCUAGAAAAAAUAGGAAAAUGAUUUUCACACUUUUUUUUCUUCCAUAUGUAAUCUGCACACUCCUAUUUAUUUCUUUCGCUUGAUUCUUCUUUGAUUAAUUCAACUCAAACGCAAAAAUAACCAUAAGUAUGCAAGGAAACAAAAUAAGUGAUAAAAAAAUCAAGAAACAAAUUAAGUAAUCAAAAUUCAUUUGUACAUGGAGGAAACCGAAGUUUGAACUUAUUCUAAAAUCUUAACUCAUUACGCUACUCUCUCCGUCCCUUAUAACCACAAAGGCUUCAAUUCUUUCCACACUCUCUCCCCUCUUUUAUCAGUCCUUAAUUCCAAACAAAAUUAAUCAACAAAAAGUAUCUGGAGGAAAACUAUUACAAAGUUUGUUUUCAAAAUUUGCAUAUGAAUUCAAUGUUAUUAUCUCAUAAUUUGCAUUUGUGAAUUGUGGGGCAUGUAGCAAAGAAGACGACGAAUAAGGAUUCGAUGACUUGAGUGAAGAGUUUGGUUUUAUGUAGCAUUAUUCGACUUACCCAUCAAUCUAUUCCCACUAAUUAACUAGCUUGAAGCAUGCUUGCUCCCAAAGGGUGGCAACUAGUCGCUUUGCCUCCACUCAUCACUUUACUGCAUCGUUUAUUAAUUUCACAGGAUUCUGUAUACUCAAAUUUUGGGGAUUUUUUUGUAUACAUAUUCGUUGGAUUGACUGUACAUUCAAUCAUUCAUCACUUUGACGCAUCUCCUACACUCGAGCAUAGUAAAAUUUUCGAAUUAUUGUAUCCAUAGAACUCAUUUGGUUGGGCUAAAUCUUCGGCCGAGUAUGCAACUACGAAUUCUACCAACUUGAAUGCUCAAACAAAACAAUCGCAAAAUCAAAGCGAACAAAAGCUGCAGAAACAUGUUUCAUAAGUCUACAUCUAAGUUCUUUUCUUCCAAAAUCUGUUCAUUACAUCGUCAAUUGUGUGGCCUAAUGUGCUCCUGAAGAAUCAGAAAAUUCUGUCUCUUCAUAGGGAAAGCAAUCGUUCUAGAAACCUUCUUUGGCUCUUGUAAGCUCAUCAAGCACGAGAAAAAACUAUAAAUGAUAACAAAUUCUGAAUCAUUAUUUUUGAAUUUCUGCGUGAGCACUUAUCCGGUUACCAAUACUAAUACUAAGAUCAGUACAUGAAUCAGACCACAGUCUCUGUCCUUCCCAACUUAAGCUUCUCAUAAAUUUCUUUUCCUCCGCGGAACAUAGUUGAGUCGCGAACGUUUGUUUUUGACAGGAGUACACCAGCUUUGAUAAUCAGCCACCUUGCCUCUUAGCUUUUUGUACUCUCUUGAUCUUAAAACUGUCUCCAUAAUGUUAAUAUCUUCACGAAUUUCGUGUCUGGAAAGAGAUGCCAGACCUGGAAGAAUGUCCCUCUGAAAAUCUUUCAUUCUCCUCCCUCUUCUCAACUUAACCCCAAAUUCCUUACUGUCAUUGUAAUUCACCUCAGAAGGCUUUAAUGACACGCAAUAGUCAUCUUCAGUGCUCUCUAUUAGAUUUAGUGUGAGUAACUCAUAAGAAUCAGAAGAACACUGCGGUUGUUCACUCCCCUUCGUUUCCAUCUUAUUUGCACCUCCUACUUCGUAAGUGCAAUCAUGACAACAUGAUGAACUCUCCAAUGAGAUUCUGACAAGUGCUUCAGCUGCUCUGAUCAAAACAUUCAGUUCAGCUGAAUCCCCUCCCUUGUCAAGGUCUUUGUGUUUUAAUUCACUGUUGUCAGAAGAUCUUCGGUCCUGCUCACCCAUUAAGGUUUCUGAAACUUGAGACCCUACAUGUGUUCCUGAAAACUGAUCAACGGAAAAGGGAUUUGAGGUUCCAUAUUCAAUUUCAGACUGCAUAGUCUUUACGCUUCUGGAAUCAUCUUCCCCAAUGCAGCAUGGUUUACAUGAAGCAGAAGAAAUAUUGCCAUGUCCAUCUGGAUCAACUUUUCGACAAUGAUCAGUAUAUGAAAAUACAGGGUCUUCUACUUUGUUGUUCUCACAAUUUACUUGUCUAGCAGAAGUGCACGAACUACUUCGACUGUUUAGGAGCUUUAUGACAAACCCGUUGUUUCCAUUACUGGAGUCAUUACUGUGGAAACCAACUGCUUCCUGGAGGUCUAUCUUCGAUCUAGGCGCAGCCUCCAAGCUUACAUUGCCCAUUCCACUUAUGCUUGAUCCAUCAACUUUGACGUUUCCAGCAUUGUAUUUUUGAAACCUUUCCAAAGUUUCAAUUGAGCCAUUAUUAUUUAGUUUUUUCCCAGUUUCGUAACAAUGAGUGCCCUCCUCUACCUUGCUAACUAAUCCGCGUAAAUGUGAAGAGCUAGCUGUUGAAAAAUGGGCUACUGUAUGAUCAUUUGAGAGACAAGAUGAAUCAUCAUUCUGAAUUUUGUUAAGGUCCAGUAGCCCUGUUUCAUAUGAACCGAAAUGCUGCCUUGUGGUGGAUGAAUUGUUAAUUGCAAUGCCACCAGAACGCUUUUCUAAUCCUGAAAAAAGAGACCAACACAAAUUCUAAAGUGUGCACAAGACUGAACCUUCAGAAACAACUCAAUGCCACGUAAAUAGUUGUGCACAGAAUAACUGAACCCAUACCUUGAUUGAAAGGAUUCCACUCACUGCCAUCUAAAUGAGGGUUACAAUCAGCAGCAUGAAAGAAUAUAUUUUUCUUCACACUACUCGAGAUGAUCGGAUCAAAGAGGACAGAAACUUCUGAAUUGUUUGUGCCCCUGGCGUUUGUUAUUGGAGCAGUACUGCUGAAGGAAGGUGACUGUUCCAAGCCCUCAUUUGAUGUCCUUUCAAUCGGUUCUUCUAAAUCAAUCAUGUGUUGCGAGCAGGAAUGAGUUUCUAAAUCAAACCAAAUCCUCUUAGUACCUCCCUCUUUCCUAUUGUCCUCUUGAAUGCUCAGGGAAAGCUUCAGCUCCGCUGGAUCUGCGACAUUAUCACAACAAAGAGAUCACCUAAGUUCCAGAGUUACUUUCAAGUGAUACCUUGUAUUAUUAUCCUUGGGGAGAUUCUUACCGAUAUAGCUAAUGCAUUGAUCUGUGUGAAGUUUAAGCUCAGGAUUCCUCGGCUGAAUCUUAUCAUCUACACCCUUGCACCGUUCUAACAAGUCCUGAAAUAUAGAUUGUGUAAAGCGAACUUCAAAGACAAGCACCAAAUCACCACACUAACACCAUAAAUAACAAGUAAUAUACAAUGAAACUAGGUUACUUAUCGACCCAUCUCUAAAGACUAGAUACUUCAUUUAUCUCUGCCUCAGGAUAGAUCUUGACCAAAUUAGUUGAUAAGUUUGUUACAAAGGCGAGACCAAAUUUCGGUCCAUAUAUUCUGCCUUAGACCUACUGCUAUCAGUCUGAAAAUACCACAUACACUGCAACGAAACAAACAAGGGCCGAGUGGGAGCACAAACUGUGGCUGCUUCCACUCCCCUUUAUCAUAAAACCACACUUACCAUAUGUUCGUCUCUUCCAUAAUUUCUCCGAGGUAAAAGAUUGAAGUCAGCACCAGCUAUGCUAUGAUUGUAUCUACCAAACUCCAUCCUGCCAAGGUUCUGCAUCAGUGUCUUCUGUAUCCUAUAUAGAUGAUGGAGUUCAUGAACCUGAAGGAAAAUCAGUAGCAAAAAUUAAAUGGAGUGGAAUCCAUUUUUUUCGCAUUUUCCCCCAUUUGUAUCUUAAACACGUGUAAGGCAACUUCAGUGCAGCCUACUUUGAGUAAACCCAAAAUUUCCAAUCUGCCAAAAUUAAGCAGUAAAAGUCUCACAUGUGCAAUUGAUACAAAUGUUGUUUUUUUUUCAAGCCUUACAUGACGUCAAUCAACGACAAGGUUUUCCCAAUGCAAAUUAUUUUAUACGAUAGCCAAUCAUACACAAACACAAGAUCUGUGGUCCUAAAUUAUUUCAGUCCAUGUCUAACUUUUAUCCUGGGAUUUAGAGUAUCCUAAUACCUGUUUUUUAAACAUAAUCUCCUGGCUGAGCAUAGUCUUCCUCACAACAUCGUCUAGAGAACUAGUGUAUGCUCGCAUUGAAUUCAGAUCAAGAUCUCCCCGCAUCAACAUUUUUUCUGUUUCUGAAAUUACAUCAAAUCAGAUUUUACAUCUUUGAACAUAACAGUAUUUAUAACCAAUUUCCACAACGUACUUCAUGCCUAGUCCCUACAAAACUCUGUUUAACUAAUUGCAAGUAAUAAGAAGUGGUUUCUACACUGGCAACCAAAACUUUGUUCUUUGCCGUUUGAAGGAAAGAGUUUGAAAAAUAUCUGUUGUAGUCUCUCUCACUUGCUAUUUUGCUAUGAUCUCACCCCCACCAACUGACUUUUUCUAGCGAUAAUCUGUUCUCCGCCAACUAUCGUUCCCUGUCCUCUCCUCUCCAGUACUCUCCUCUCCUCCAUAGUUUGACCAACACUAAUUAUUGCAAUUAAAAUUAUGUCACCGUAAUCAAUCCAAACGCAACUAAUUAUGAUUGCACUAAUUACAAUUAAUGGCUAAAUUGCCAGCUGCACAGUGAUUGACAAGUAAGUUUAAAAAUGUAAAACAAAAGGAAGGGUGUAUAAACAUCCAUUGAACCCGAGUAAACAAUUAAUGAGACCUCUGUCAUCCUAAUUGCAACUGUCGUAACCUGUCUAAUUCUCUUCUACGCUUGUGUGGAAUUCGUUCCCCACAAAGACACAAGGUUUACGAAAGUAUCACUCUUAGGGAUGGACAAAUAUCCAUUGGUUAUGGGUAACCGCGGUUACCCACCCAUUUAAAUUAAACGGUUACGGUUAUGGGUGACCGUUGAGAUAAAUAAACAGUUAUGGGUAUAACCGUUUACCCGCGAAAUUUAAAUGAACGGUUAUGGGUAUUAACCACUGUUAUAAACGGGUAACCGUUUACCCAUUUAUUUUAUAUAUGUAAAAUUAACACAAACCAUGUUCUCGAUCCAAUAAUACUUAGCACCCAAUAAAUUAGCAAGGAAUUCAUCUGUCAUUCUCUCAAUAACACUACUACAAGAAUGAUGAUUUUCAUCAUCAAGGAAUUGGCCAAAUUAAUUUAAAUUCCUUGUGGGUAACCGUGAAAUUGACAGAAAUGCUUUGACAGAAAUGUCUUCUAAAUGAUUUUUGUAACCCAAUAAUACUUAGCAAAUAUUAUAUUUACCUUCAUUUGUAACAAUUAAAAAUAUCAUCUGUAAACUAUUAUUUCAAUUAUUGAAAUGGUAUAAGGACUUAAAAAAUUAAAAUUUGGAAAUGUAUGAUGAAUGUACCUAUAAUGGUGUUUAAUUGUCAAAAAAAAAAUUAUGACAAUUUUUUUUUAAUUUUUAAGUUGUUAAAAAACAUGUAGACGGGUGAAAAAAUGGUAAUGGUAAAAAAAAAAAGAUAAACGGGUUAAAAAGGAUAAAUGGGUAAAUGGGUAUUAAACGGUUACGAUUAAAUGGGUAUGCAAUUAUGAGUAUGAGUAUAACCGUUUAAGCAAUUACCCAACGUUUAGUAAACGGUUAUGCGGGUAUGAGUAUAAACGGUUAUGGGUAAAUUAACCGCGAUUACCCGUCCGCAUAACCAUUGCCCAUCCCUAAUCACUCUUGAUGAGACAAUACCCUAAGUUGUGAGACAAGUUAAUAUGAUGUUCUUUUUUUCAUUUCUCGUAUUUGGGGAAAUCUAGGAAAUGGUUUUGUGAAUAAUUACGAACAUGGGCCAUGGAAGUUGUUUUACAACCAAACUUCUUCAAAGUAAAGGUAGUAUUACUAUUAAUGCAUCAAACUAUUAGUUUCCUGUAAUUAAAAAGAGAACCCAAAAGGUCAUUACUUUUACUCAACACAUUCAUUCAACACCCAACCACUGCAAAAUAAUUCAAGCAACAGAAAUCCCAUAUCGCAAAUUGUCUAUAUAUGACAACCGAAAUUCCAAAAAACACAUCUUCCUGCAAAUUUUGGAAAUGUAGAGAAAGAAAGAGAGAGAAUACCAAGGUGAAGAAAUAUCUGCUUCUGCUUCUUCUUCUCCUUCUCCUUCACUAAAUUCUCAUUUUCUCCAACAUAUCUAAGGGACUGUAAUCCAGAAACAAUGCUGCCUGCCAAUGAUUCCACAUGUGAAGGGGGGGAGAGAGAGAGAAAGAGAGGAGAGAGAAUCGGAUCACACUGGGGUCAUCAAAGGACUGAAGGUGGGAAAGAUACUUCUGUCCACAGAGAUAGGAGAGAGAGAGAGUAGCGAGUAGCAAGCGCAGGAAGGGCGCGUACGGGAUCACGUAUCCGUUGUUCCCACAACCCAAAUCAUCCUCUCCUUUCUCCUCUCUCUCUCUCGGUCGUUGGGAUUCCUUUCUUCUCUCUCUUAUUUUUCUCCCUCUCUACGUCUCUCUCUGGAGUCUGGACUUAGAUUUCUCUUUUAAGGAGGAGCUGUCACUUGUCAGACGAGCUUCUGCUGGGACAGUUUCAACGGCAAAAGUUCUGAUGACACUUGUGCAUCUUCCUCAUUACUUGUUUUACCUUCUUAUCCCUCAUACUAUGUCCCAGAUUACACUUUUGUCCUUGCUUCAUAAUGAAAUUUUUUAUUUUAUACGUUAUAUUUAGGGUGGGAGAUCUGAAACCAAUUGACGGAGUAUAGCUUAAUGUUUCUCACAUGCAACUAUAAAAUCAUUAUUAGACUGUAGCAUUGAGGGGGUGUUUGAUAAUGGAAAUGAUGUAUACCUUACAUGCCAAUUUGUGAUAAGUGAGCAUGUCAUAAGACUAUGAUUGGGUUUUCUACUAUUUUGAAUACACUUUGGGGGAUUUGAGUAGCCAAUCGAUCAACACAAUGUAACCAAUUAACCAACUAUUCACAUCUCGUAAAUUUUUUAUAAUAUUUGUUAUGCAAUAAAGAAUUUUGGGUAAAUUACAUAAAACUACUUUAACUUUUAGGUCAGUCACAGUUUCAUACCCCGUCUUUAAAAACUUCAAUGUCAUACCUUAUCUUCGAAUUUGUUGCACUGUCAUACCUUCCGUCAGUUGUUUGUCAAUUCCUCUGUUAAAUGCUGACGUGGCUUGAGGCAGGGCCCACUUUGUCACAUCUCGACUCUGUCGUAGCACGAUAUUGUUCGCUUUGGGCCAAGCCCUCACGAAUUUGUUCCUAGGCAAGAGAACCUCACUACCCAAAAUGCGUCAUGCUAGGAAAAGAGGGUCAUGUACAUAUAAGGUCAGGGACCAACCCCCACCCCGCUUAUGUGGGAUACUAUAAUCCACCCCUUUAAGGAGACCAAAGUCCUCGUCAACACAUCUGAACGGACGCUGAGUCUGGCUCUGAUAUCAAAUUGUCACAUUCUGAUUCCGCCGUAGCACGAUAUUGUCCACUUUGAGCCAAGCCCUCACGAAUUUGUUCCUGGGCAACAGAACCUCACUACCCAAAACACGUCAUGCUAGGAAGAGAGGGGCAUGUACAUAUAAAGCCAGGGACCAACCCCCACCCUGCCGAUGUGGGAUACUACAUACUUUCUAUUAAAAAAUUAAUAAAAUAUUAAAAAAAUAAUAAUUUACCCUUAAAAAAAAUAAUAAACACCCAAAUAUCCAUCUUCCCCGACCCCUUGCCAUUCCCUGCAACCCAAAUCCAAAACCACUCCACCCAUGCCAAACCCUAAAACCUAAACCCCAAACCCUAAACCCUAAAUAAUUACCCUUAAAAAAAUAAAAAAUAAAAACCCAAACACCAAUUUUCCCCGACCUCUUCCCCUUCCCUGCAACCCAAAUCCAAAACCACCCCAAACCCAGAUCCCACCCACGCCAACAUCUCCCCCCAGACCCACAUCCUCAUUCUCUGCCGCUGCCACGUCAUCCUCCUCCUCCUUCUCCUAUCCAACCCCCAAACCCAAAUCCUCAAACCCUAAUUGCACCGUCUGCUGCAAGCACUCGUUGUCGCCCACCCUUGACCUCCUCAUCCUCAUUCUCCUCAUUUUCUCAGGGACCUUCCUCAUCACCUCCUACUUUUCCUACAUCUUCAACUCCCCUUCGACCUCCUCAUCCUCAUUCUUGUCCUCUUCAUGUCGUCUUGCUGUUUUGGAAGCAAUGCGGAUGCUCGGUGGCCAAGCUCGAAAGCUUGGGGGUUGGAUAGGAGGAGGAUGACGAUGAUGUGGCAACAACAGAGAAUGAGGAGGUGGGUCUGGGGAGGGGGGGAUAUGUUGGCGUGGGUGGGAGUGGUUUUGGAUUUGGGUUGCAGGGAAGGGGAAAGGGUCGGGGAAGAUGGGUGUUUGGGUGUUUUUUUUAAGGGUAAAUUAUUAUAUUUUAGUAUUUUAUUAAUUUUUUAAUAGAAAGUGGGCCCCGACUCAAGCCAUAUCAGCAUUAAACAGAAGAAUUGACAAAGAACUGACGGAAGAUAAGGUAUGACAUUGCAACAAACUCGAAGAUAAGGUAUAACAUUGAAAAUUUUUAAAGAUGGGGAAUGAAGCUGUGACUGACCCAAUAAUUGAGGUAGUUUUAUGUAAUUUACCCAAAAAAAUUUUACAUCAUAAUUAGGUAAUAUUUUGUUUGAAGAUUUUUUUUAUAAUCAGUCGAUCAAAUGUGUGUGAGUGAUUUCCUUAACUUUAAUUAAUAAAUAAGACAUUUUAACUCACCAAAAUAUUUUUGGGUAAAUUAUGGUUGGGCAAGUAAGAUUAGAAAUUUAGCACCUUCUUUAACAAAAAAUAUAAAAAAAAGUUGCUUGUUUCUUAACAAAAAUUAGCCAUUGCAGAUAAGAGUACCAGUAAGUUGAAGUUUGAGAAUAGUGGUAGUAUCGUAAUUAAGUUGAAGUUUAGUGACAUCAACAACUAUUUUUUCACAAAACCAACAAAAUUGUCACUGUACUUGCAUCUUGCCACAUGCACAAUAUGGUUGGUGUGGUGUAAUUAAAGUAACAGCACGCAAUGUAAGUCAUAAUGAAUUAUUGAAGAGGAAAGUCAUAAUGAAUUGUGUUACCUUUCCGAUAUGGAUAUUCAUGUAUUCUUCAACAUAAAUUAAAUGCAAAGGAAAAACGUUAUUCCAUCCAAUUCACUACGCUUAACCGCUUAGGUCGUUUCAAAAGUGGAAUUGACAAGAAUAACUGUCAUAACCCAUCUCGAAUUAUUAUUAUCGGUGAUGUAAAAUGGCGGUUUUAUCCUUGGAUAUUGAAAUUUUAGUGUGUGUGAGACUUAUUUUGGAGACUUAGAUGUUUAUUUUCUUGGUUGGGUGGUGACCACAUGGAGCUCACACACAACACACGCACCCUCUUUCUUCUCUCCUGUGCUCUCUCGUCUCUCGGACUCUCUCUCUUUCCCUCACGUACGGACAAGCAACAAAGCUUACACUCAUGCACGGAUCGACGUUCUAAAGGUGAGAUUCUCGUUCCUUGCAAGCCCCUAAGUACAUCUAUACUAUUCUUAGGACUUGAAACCGUGAAAAACCCGAGAAACCCUAACCCUGAUUUUGUGCAUUGUUCAUGCACACGUAAAACCUUGUGUUUCAGGGAAUUUUAAGGACAUAGGAAGCUUUAGGACGUCCUUGUGAGGCUCGGAGAAGAAAAAUGGAGUGAAUUGGACGUCGGAGGACUGAGAUCGAAGCACUACAAGUUUGGUAGGAAUUAUUGAGCUUACUCAGGCAUGAUUCAGUGGUUUUCGAGGCUUCAAACAGGUAUAACGUCGUUCCUCUCAUCUCCAGCUUUCCAAUGGUUCAAGUUUCAUGAAAAAUGGUGAAGAAACGAAGGAGAAUAAGCGUUUUAAAGUUUUACCCAGUUUCCGGCGCCGGCGACGGUCGCUGAAGGUUCAAGAUUAAGGAUGAUGGAAUAUUCCGUCAAGUUUGACGAAAUAUUCCACGGCGUGAGUUAAAUUUAACAGAUUCCGUUAGUAUUUGACGGAAUAUUCCUGACGGCGUUGACUGAUGCUGUCAGUAUGCCUAUCACGUGGCCGCGCAUGGGGGCGCGUAUUGCCGGGCCUUGGCCGGCCCAUGGCGGGGCGUGGGUGGUCAAAAAAUUAUUCUAAAAAUAUGGGGAUGUUUGUGGAGUUGUGUAGGUCACUGUGGAAUAUUCAAAUACCAAAAUUGAGCAUUGUAUGAGAAGUUAUUAGCUAGUUUUGCCUAUGUGCUUUAAAUAACGUUUUUAUAGUUAAUUCGCAUCUAGGUGAGACUUAUCCCGAGGACGAGUGUGUUCAAGGACGACUCGGGGGCUACGACCCUUCGACAUACCAGUGAGUGGGCUUUUGGUUUUCAGUAUAUAUUUAUAUACUUGAUAUUUUCCCAGAAAUAUGUGUUGAAAUGAAAAUAUGCCGUAAAUGCCAUGCAUAUAAGUAUAAUUCGUAUAUGAAUUGGUAUAUGAUGCUUUAUAUAUAUAUAUAUAUAUAUAUAUAUAUAUAUAUAUAUAUAUAUAUAUAUAUAUAUAUAUAUAUGUGCUGUGGACGCUCAGGGUUGUUUUGUCGCUCAAUAAGCACAACAAUUUGAAUAAAAAAGUCAAAGACAAAGAUUUAUACCUUUGUUUUCUGAGAUUUGUGCUCAGAUCCUUGCCAAUAUUAGAUGCAUGCACAUAAAUAUCGAAGUCUAUAAGAACAUGAAACAAAGAAAUGAGAUGCACAAGGAGAAAUAAAAUACAAAGUAACAACUUCAAUCUGAACAAUCGAGACGGUGAAUUUUCGAUCGCAUCUGUUGUCCUUGCUCAGAAGAUCUGCAACAAAAGCCAAAAUGCAUCAUUUUAGAUGCUAAUUCCGCUCAAUCGAGAGAAGAAAAAAGAGUAGAAAGAUCGCAGAGACAAAGAGAGAGAGAGUGAAAACAAUUGCUUAACUUUGGCUUUUUUUUGCCAAUGGUGAAAACUCCAGGUCCCUUUCUCAUCUUUGCAGAAGAGAGACAUAGUGACAAAUUUUGGGAGAGGGAGUGACAAAAUCAUACCAUUUUGCAUGUCGGAGAUCCCUUGCAAUUUUGAUAGAGAUGGAGACGGCUCAAAAUUAAGUUUGGGGCUCAGAUAUGUGGUUUUUUCAUAGUGGCAAAGACAGAGAUGAAGCUGCGAUUAGGGAUGGGCAAUGGUUAUGGCGGGCGGGUAACCACGGUUAUUUAUCCAUAACCGUUUAUUCUCAUACUGUAUAACCGUUUACCUGUUGGGUAAUUGCCUAAACGGUUAUACCCAUACCCAUAACCAUUUAUAAAUGGUUAACCAUACCCAUAACCGUGUACUCAUUUAACCGUAACCGUUUAGUACCCGUUUACCCAUUUAUCAUUUUUUAACUCGUUUAUCUUUUCUUUUUUACCAUUUACUCAUUUUUCAUCUGUCUAUGUGUUUUUUUAACAACUUGAAAAUUAAAAAAGAAAAAUUUGUCAUAAUUUUCUUUUUCUAACAAUUAAACAUCGUUAUAGGUACAUUCAUCGUACAUUUCCGCAUUUUAAUUUUUUAAGUCCUUAUACCAUUCCAAUCAUUGAAAUAAUAGUUUACAGAUGAUAUUUUUAAUUGUUAACAAUUAAGGUAAUAUAAAAUUUGCUAAGUAUUCUUGGGUUACGAAAAUUGUUAAAAAACAGUAUUCUUGGGUUAUUUAACUCGGAAUGUAAAGUAUUAACAUAAUAUAUAUAUAUAUAUAAUGGACCAUGAAAUUCAAAGUGGUUAAGGAAAACUAUAUUACAUUAGCUACAGAAAUCAUGCAUUAUAGUCAAUAGUAUUGAUCAAACCUUCCAUUUUUCUUUCUAAACGGAAGGUUUUGAAUGGGCGGUUACCCGUUUAUAACUGCGGUUAAUACUCAUAACCGCCCAUUUAAAUUUCCCAUAACCAUUUAUUUAUCUAAACGGUUACCCAUAAUCGUAACCGUGAAAUUUAAAUGGGCGGGUAACCGCGGUUACCCAUAACCGAUGGGUAUUUUCCCAUCCCUAGCUGUGAUGUGAGAUUAGAAAGAAAAAUGGAAGGUUUUGAAUGCCAGGGAGAAGGGUUUAGGAGCUGCGAUGCGCGAUAGAAAGAAAAAUGGAAUGUCUUGAAUGCCAGGAAGAAAUGGGGGAGAAAGAGAAUAGCAGAGAGAUCCAUAAAUGAAGGGAGAUAUUAGACGGACGUAGGCUUUGCCGUCAGGGACAAAAUCGGAAAGUCAAUAUUUGGGCCAUUUUAAUUGGACUGAUUUAACGUUGGGCCUUAUCCUAACCAUUAAAUAAAGUAACUACAUGGUUUUUUUUUGUUAACAUUCAAAAUUUUCAAAUCUUUUUCAUUAUUUUUUUAAAAAAUAGUUUAUUAAAAAAAUCUGGAACAUCAAAUGUGUUUGAUAAAAAAAUAAAAAAAUAAAAAGAAGUGUUUUUUAAGAAUAAUUUUUUUUUUCUAUCAAUGAUAGUAGAAAAACAUUGAAAGUAGAAGCAGGGUCUACCAUGCUUCUAAAAAAAUGUUUUUUUUUUCAAAGCAUAGUAAUCCUUUCUCAUUUAAUUUAAUGAAAUUUUCAAUGAUACAAAAUUACUCAUUACACCUACAUUAUUCUUUUUAACAAUUAUUAUAUCACAUUAAAUAUCAUAUUAUUUUUAGUCAUUUAACAUAUUUACAUUAAUUUAUAUAAAAGUUUACCAAACACUCAGACACUUUUACAAAAAAAAUGUUUACCAAACACUUAAUAACUUUAUUUUACUGUUGUUUAUUCUUACAAUACAACAGAAGCAAUUUUUCAAAAAAAUGCAGCAAUACCAAACUAGCUUUAUGUAAGUUGUUUUACCUUCAAAUGCAUGAAUUAUUUAUUUCUUAUAUUAUUUACAAGGCGUCGUUAUAUGAAACAAAAGCCCCUUUUGGAUGUCCAUGGUUCUGAAAUUAUUUUCGUAUAUAUAGCUGGAGGAUGGACUUUGCUCUUGGAAUCAUGCUAGAAGAGGACACGUAUCGUGGUCAACAGUCUCAAGCUAAAAGCAAGUGAUCAAAUGUGCUAGAGGAUAAAAUUUGUUUUAUCAACUAAUUGCGUAAUUGCCUCAAACUUUCUCUAUUCUUUUAGUCUAGCUAAAAGUAAUAAUAUAUAAUUAUAAUUAAAAAAGAAACCUCAACCAUUCAACAAAUUUGAAUAAUUAACUUAGAACUAAAUAUUUUGUUUUUAACUUGCCACUUAGUACUAUGGUUUAAUGGUAUUCAUUUUUACUUGUAAAUAAGAGGUAUUAGGUCUGAUUCUUGUCAAAGACAAAUUUGAACCACAUUAUUGCUACCUCAUUGUAAAGCUUAACCCACAUCAUUUUUUUUAGCAUAAAUAAUAUCGUUUGUUAAAAAAAAUUAUUUUUAAUUUGAAAAUAGUGGUUCAUCAGAUGUGAAUGGAUGACUUUUUCCAGCAAAACAAAGGCAGAGAAUGCUGAUUGUUACUGUGACCAACCUAGACUAACCCACAAUAACCCUAUAUUUUCUGUCACACUGUACAUUCAUCUACUUCUUUUAGAAGAAAAAAAGUGCAUUUAUAUUCUUUUUUUCUUCCUCUUUAAAAAGAUACAAAGGUUGGCAAGCUAUAAAUCCACCCCUUUUAGGACUUAAGAGGCUAUGGGAAAUUUUACUAUGCCCGUCGUCAUAGUCAAACAGACUCACCAACUUGGAAUAUCGAACCUGGAAGCUCCCACAUUUUCUAUGUCUUUUUGAGGAAUUGUAGUCUGCGCUUUUAUUACUGGGCCACUUACUGUGGUCAAAAAUACAUUUAUAUUCACAAAAAUAAAAUUAAAAAAAUUCAGCACGUGCCACACAUUUAGUAUAGGCAAUUAUUGUGACGCAAUUUUAUUUUUCUUUGUUAUAAAAAGGCAGCUAACUUUGUUAAAAAAACAAAAGGCAGCUAACUGAUUCUUUAACCCAAUAGAUGUGAAUAACCAAGUGAGGUCAAUGAUUAAGAUUCAUAUAGCCUAACAACUUGGACUGAUUUUUUUUUUUUUAAAUUUUACUAUUAUUAAGAGGAAGAAAGAGUUCAAAAAUAUUAGUUACAAUAAUUUAGGGAAGUGAGAAGUUUCGAACCUGCGAUACAUGGAUAGAAACUCAAUACCUUUUUUUAAAUGUGUGGUCUUACAUCCCUUACCUUCUUAAACUAGGAAGAUCCUAAGUUUAUAUAUGCUUGGUCAUUUUUUUGACCACACCAAUCCAAGACAUUACGGAUUUGAAAAUGUUAUUCUUGUAAAUGUCGUUUUGCAAACAUUCAAAUGGCUGAGUGUAACAAAAUUGGUUAGAAUAGUAUAACUCUUUUAAUAUUAAAUUAUGCUGAAGAAUACAAGAAUUUCAAUAUUAAAAAGUUAACAAAAUUAAUUAUGAUUUAUAUUAAGUGCUUGCAAUAUUUCUUUUAAAAUGUUAUUGACACACCCCGACCGAGAUCAAGACAUGUUGACCGUCACGUGAGGGUGACGUAGCCAUGUGCACAGUGCGGAAGCAAUGAAGAUAAGAAUUAUAUGAAUAGUUAAAAACCGAAACUACUAGAGUGCACUACUAAACAGAAAGUGUUAGGAGUAAGAUACAAAAGUAAAUACUCAUAAUCAGAGCAUAUAAAGUCUAGGUGCAGUCCAGUAAGACAAGUACUAAUUAUAUAGUACCAUAAGACGUCCUACAAUUAUUUAGAUAGGUCAGAACCGCUGAAGUCCUCGCACCCAGCAACUGCAAACUUACCUAAAACCUGGAGGGGCGCAAAACAGAAAAUGUGAGUGGGCAAAAACAAAUGUUUUACAAAACCAUUUCAUUUAUCAACAUAUCUAACCCCUCGCUGUAAAACAUGUAUAAUUUUUCCCAUAAUCAAGAUAUAUGCAUAUACAUAAAUAUAUAUGAAAUUAUAUCAAUUCAAAUCAUGCUUCACAUAAUCAUAAUCAUAUGUAUGCCAUGCCAAGAUAUAACAGAGUAAGCAAUUCAGGUAAUAAUAAUUUCAUAUAAAUAUAACAUGUUAGCUGGAACCCCUGUAGUUGUCUGUACGGCUGAAUUCAUAACUCAAAGUCAAUCUAGUCAGAGUCACUACAAUGACAUAUACGGCAACAUACUGCACAAGAGUCGGAACCAAGGGAAAAUGUCUGUACGACAAUAAUGGGUGUGAUAUAAUUAUGCUCAAUACUACUCUCACAUAAUAGCUAGGCGAUAAAUCGCUAGUCACCUACGAGUCGGAACCAUAAAUAAGGUCUGUACGACAAGACUGUGCACCUAAAUGGAUCCAAUAUGAGCAUAUGGUGCGGGAGGUGACAUAAUAAACAGGCAUGUGUCAUAACUCUAGCUAAAUCACAAUCACCCUAGGUGUAGUCUUAUGAGCUCAACAUUAUUCAAUCACAUAUCACAUAAUUGACAAUUCACAUAACCAAACAUAACUCACCUAAGCUUAUUGAGCGACAAAACAACCAAUUUUUUGAUAUAUUUGUAUGUAUAGUUUAUGAAUUGGGCAUGAAAAUUUAUUUGGGUGAAUUUGAAUUCUGCAUAUAAAUUGUUUGUUUAGAUUAAUUUGUUGUCCGGAGCUGAAACUUACCUUGCCGCGAUUUAUCUAUUUCUAUUGACCUUUCGCUUUUGCGAAAAUAUAAAUGAUAGUAUUCAUUUAAUUACCUUGCCGUGAUUUAGUUGCACCUCUAAAGACCUAUCUGCCUGAUGGAGAUAUUGAUUUGAUUGCUUUGGGUGGUAUGAAUGUUGAGGAGGCACUGGGCAAUGACAUCUGCAUUGUCCUUGAAAUGGAAUAUCAAAAUAUGGUUGCUGAGUUUAUGGUGAAAGAUGUCCAAUGGAUUCGGGCAGAGGUUUUUAGCUUUUGCCUCUUAAUUUUAUUAGAUUGAUGAUAGUUAUAAGUCACAAUUUAGUGUUAAUGCUACCAUCUAUGUCUAGUAAAGUUUUUGUGUUGAGUUUAUGUUGUGUAACUUGCAUUUCCCUUGAAUUAAAUUAUUACGUGCGUGUCUAUGUCAUUAGUCAUUAUUUUGAUUCUAUCUCAAAAAACUUUUGAUUUUCCUCUGUAAAGACUAUUUGUUUUUGUUGUGGCAAGUCAAGCUUGUAAAGUUGCCUUGUGCAAAAUAUUCGGGUCGAUAUUUCCUUCAAUCAGUUAGGAGAGCUAUGUACGAUGUGCUUCCAUGCGCAGGUAGUCAUUCACACAGGGCUAAAUUGAAAAUGAAGUUCAAUUUGUCACAUAUGAAUUGAAUGAUUUACCAGAUUUCAUUCAUAUAAUCGGAUUCUUUUAUGGAAGCUCUGAGUUGUCCAAUGAAACUUGUUUUUCAAGUCUUUUGUUGAAAGUAUAUGCUGACUUAUGCCUUUUCAAUUAGUAGUACUUUGUGGAGUGGUGACUCCACCCACUUUUGUCCUUUUUAAGUCAUAGUUUUACUUUGAUCUUAUGGUAUGGUUUUGGUGAUCUGAGUGGUUUGUGAUUUUUUGGAAUUUAUGUCCCUUGUUAUUUGGCUUCCCUAAACAUAUCCAUGGUGCUUCUUAUUGCAUGGGUUGAUCACCUCAUUGGCAAAGAUCAUCUUUUCAAACGCAGUAGCAUACUAAUUAAGGCAAAAUGCUAUUAUGGGAGUCGAAUUCUUGGUGCCAUCAUGUUUUGAUUUCAACAUAUGCUUUGGAGACUUUGAUUUUGUAUAUUUUCCAUCUCUUCCAUUCAUCUUAGAAUGGUCCUCUAGUGGUCAGUGCUUUAAUGCUUUAGCACUAGCAAACUAAACUGAAUCAAAUUUGUUUGUUUUUUAUUUUUCUGCUUGGUUGAUGAGAGAUGAUGAAAAAGUUGGUACUGAAAUUUGUGUGAAUUAGUGUAUGUUGAUUGGCACUUUGAUGGAAUUUGAUCUGACAAUACAUGUUGCAGUGGAGCGGGCCCAGGAUGUGGUGGACCCGGUUGUAACAUCCCACAUCGCCCAGGGGAGUGAUCCUUAAAUGUAUAUUCUCAUCCACCUAGCACGAGGCUUUUUGGGAGCUCACUAGCUUCGGGUUCCGUCAGAAAUCCAAAGUUAAGCAAGAAGGUGGCCAGAACACUUCCAUGAUGGGUGACCCACUGGGAAGUUGCUCGUGAGUUCCCAGAAACAAAACCGUGAGGGAAUGGUAAGCCCAAAGCAGACAAUAUCAUGCUACGGUGGUGGACCCGGGUCGGGAUGUGACAAAUGGUAUCAGAGCCUAUCCUUGGCCGGAAGUGUGCCGACGAGGACAUCGGGCUCCUAAGGGGGGUGGAUUGUAAUAUCCCACAUCGCCCAGGGGAAUUAUCUUUAAAUGUAUAUUCUCAUCCCUACCUAGCACGAGGCUUUUUGGGAGCUCACUGGCUUUGAGUUCUUUAAGAACUCCAAAGUUAAGCGAGAAGGUCGCCAGAGCACUUCCAUGAUGGGUGACCCACUGAGAAGUUGCUCGUGAGUUCUCAGAAACAAAACCGUGAGGGAAUGUAAGCCCAAAGCGGACAAUAUCGUGCUACGGUGGUGGAACAGGCCAAGGAUGUGGUGGACCCAGGCCGGGAUGUGACACACACUAUUUCUGAAAACUGAACCAAAAUAACUCAUAUUAUUUCUGGAAGGGAACAAAAUAAAUAUUAUUUCUGGAACUAUAACAAGAUAACCACUUUUUAUGAAACUGAACCAAAAUAAUUGAUAUUAUUUAUGGAAGGGAACAAAAUAAACAUUAGUUCUGGAACUACAGCAAAAUAACCACAGUAUUUAUGAAACUGAAUCAAAAUAACCCACAUUAUUUCUUGAACUGCUGUAAAAUAACCCACACUAUUUAUGGAACUUUAGCAAAAUAAUCCACACUAUUUCUGAAACUGAACAAAAAUAACACACAUUAUUUCUGGAACUACGGUAAAAUAACCCACACUAUUUCUGAAUCUACAGCAAAAUAACACAUUAUUUCUAAAACUGAAUCAAAAUAACUCACAUUGUUUAUGGAAGUGAACAAAAUAAACAUUAUUCAAGAACUACAUAAAUAUACCCAACACUAUUUCUGAAAUUGAACCAAAAUAACUCAAGUUGUUUUUGGAAGGGACAAAAUAAACAUUAUUUCUAAAAUUACAGCAAAAUAUCCAACACAACUUUUUGAAACUACAAUACUAAUACUACUAGUAUUCAGUUUGAGAAAUAGUCAUUGUUCAGUUAUAAGAAUAGUUAGUGUUUAUUUCUAGAAAUAGUGAUAGUGUCAGUGCUCAAUUUUAAAAAUAAUGUUAAUGUUCAGUUCUAGAAAUAAUGUUCAGUUUGAAGAUUUUACAUUUUGGAGAUUUUUCAUGUGUUUAUAAUGGUAUCAAAGAUCUCUGCUUGUAGGAAUCUAGAAAUAUAUAAUUUAAUAAUGAUCCUUAUAAUUAACAAUGUUUGACCUUAAUUAAUCAUACCUAUACAAUGAUCACACAAGGGUUUCAUAAGUUGAUAAUGAGGAGCCUAAAAUAAUUCCAAAAAUCUUAGAGGCGACACGUGGACUUUUGCUUAAGAAUGACAAGAUUGCCCUCAAUAAAUAGGCAAGUGUCUCAGAUGCUCCCUUGCCCAGCUCACACCCCUGAAGGUCCCAACAGCUGAAUACGACUGCCCAUAACACACCUACCCUUGGCAACGAAAAGUCAAGGCAUUAAAUAUCAGGAUUAAUUACCCAAAUCCUAUCUUUAAUAGAUUCCCAACUGAAGAGUGACUCCAAUCAAAUAAGUAAUCCCAAUUUAAAUCAAUUAGGGAUAAUUACUCCAUUAUCUCAAGAUAUUAUUUCCUAUUUAAUAUCUUGAGAAUAUUUAUCCAUAAACCUUGGCCAAUAGGAUGUUGCCACGUGUAGGGUAAAACCCUAACAUCAUGCCAGACCCUAUCCCUAUAAAUACACUAUAUUCUGCCAAUUUGCAGAAACUUUUGAUACCCCCUAAAUAGCCUAUAAACUGACUUAGGCAUCGGAGUUCCAUUGGCCUAAACCCCCCCCCCCACCUCAACCACCUUGUGGGCGCGUGAGGCUUAGGUCUUUGAUCAAAAGUGUUGAUUGUUUUGUAGGUACAUUUUCGUCAAGAUUGAAGACAACAAAAAUUUGCAUCGGCAGAUAACACCAUGGAUCACACAAAGUAUGAUUAAUAAUUGAUCUUAUUUCUUGAUUAUUCUAUUGGAUUUGCAAUGACGAAGAAGGUUUAAAUGCAUUAUAAAAGAGAUAAUUGCAGCAUGAUUGAAAACAUGCUCAUCACGUGAUUGGGGUCCUAAUUUUUCUAGGUUGUUGUAGGCUUCCUCUUCCUUAUAGAAUAUUUUGUUCAACAAUCCCAAACAAAAACAAUUAUUUGAUUUGUUUCAGUUAACAUAUGAGUGGCUUAAUUAAGAACUUGCUUUUGUUGUAGAAGUUUGGACUAUACUAGUGAAUGUGCAAUGUGAUACACUUGGUGAAAUUAUAUGUCAUUUUCCAAUCUAAAGUUCAUUAUUUUGUAGUGAUUUUAGGAAUUUAAUUUUUGUAAUUUAUUUGAUUGGGAGGCGAGGUGAGGAAUUGGAGAUAUUUAAUUAUGUUAGGGGUUAAUUGGUAUCCUCCAGCAAAAGUUUUUUUUUGUUUUUUAACAAAUCCUCUAGAAAAUUUUAAAAUUAUUUUAAAAUUUUUAUGUGGUUUUUGUGCUUUAAUGAGGCAAUGUCAUAUUUGUAAAUAAAUGAAAGUUUAAUUCUAACAAAAGUGGGCUGACGGAUGUCAGGGGCAUGGAUGGAAAAGGAAUUUCUUAUUUUGCACGUGAGGCUUCAUGGUUUUGGUUGUUCUUUCUAGUUUUUGUCCUUUUCAUUAAAGAUUAAGUUAUUUUUAUUAAAUAAAGUUAAUAAAUAGUUUUUUGUUAAUAAAAAGUUUGGAAAAUCCUUUUUCAUUUCCUUUUUUAAAAGCAUCACAAUCCCAAAAAUAUACUAUCAUAUUACAUUUCGUGCUAAUUAAACAAAGACACGUGAAUAAAUUUACACAUAUAUUUAUUUUAUAAGCACAGAACUCUAUGACAAUGUACCAGUAUUGUAUAAGACAUUUCCAAAGUACAAAGGAGAAUAUAUAUAUAUAUAAAGAAAUCUUAUGUUGGCCUUUUCCUCUUUCGGUAUAGGUUGAUAGACAUUUCGCUUUUUAAUGUAGGUCAAUUGAAAAAAUUUGUCUUUAAUUAUGGUAAAAAAAAAUAAGUUUUUUGUCCAAUUAAAGUUAAUAUUACUUGAUAAAAUUGAUCUUUAUUGACCUCCUUUCAGUUGUAAGUCAAAUGUUCAAAUAGUGUGAAUAGAGUGCAGUAUCUAUUUCUAUUCCUCACAUUUUAGUGUAAAUAUAACAUUAUAUAAAAAUAAAAAUUCAAUUUUACCCUUCUAACAUUUAAACUAAAAGAAACAAAAAACCUAGUGAUUGCCCUUCUAACAUUGUAUGGGUGCGUUUGUUGCAUCGAUUGUCUCAUAUUGAACUAGUUUUAGAGACUAAGCUGGAUUGGCUUCAACUACACUAAGUUGAACUAACUUAGUGUAGUGUUUGGUGCAGUGUCGGACUAAAAAAAUGAUAAUUAACAACUAUAAUAUUAUAUUUGUUAUCACCUAUAUUUAACUGACAAUGAGGGGGGUUGGCGGCACAGAGAAAAUAUAGAGAGAGAUGUGUUUGUAGGGUUGUGUAGAGGAUGUGUUAUUCCCCACUACACAGUGCCUUUAUUUAUAGUAAUAAGGGAGGGAAGAAAUCCUUCUCAUCCCAGGAAUACAAGUCCUAAUAGGGAAGAAUUACUAGUAUCAAAUCUAAUAUUGGAUUUACACAAUCAAACUUAAAUAAGAAGUUUAUAACACUCCCCCUUGAAUUUGUAAAUACUCAAGUAAAUUCGGCAACAUGUAGAGUUGAGGAAGUUGACUCGUCGACACUGAUUCUGGGAACAUGCUAGUCUCAAAGUAAAGUAGGAACUUCCAUAAGGAACUAAGUCUCACAAAAACCCGACAUCAAUGGUAAAACCCGAGUAGGGACAAAAUUCAUGUACCAAGGAAAAAUGCAUGAGAAAUGCAAAGUCAAAUGAAACGUCUACGGUACGUCAUCAGGGAUAUGAUCAGCUCAAGGUGGGUGCCUCGUCAAAACCUUGUUGGGUAGAAAAAACCCAAUGGGAAAAUGCUCUUAAUCGUAGGGAAAAGAGUAUAUUAAGAUCAAGCAAGUAUACUUAAGGAUACUCCCCUGAGUUUGACUUAAUUCCAACGAGAACUAACAAUGUUUCAACUUAGAAAGUUUAUGCAUACCUAUUCCUUGAACAAGCUUCUGAAACGUUGCCUUCAGUAGUGAUUUGGUGAAGAGGUCAGCCAAAUUGUCUUGUGAAUGGAUUUGCAUGACUUCAAUCUUUUGAUGCUCUUGCUGUUGAUGUGAGAAGAAGAACUUUGACGCAAUGUGCUUGGUGUUGUCUCAUUUGAUGUAACCCUUAUUGUGUUGUUCGAUGCAUGCUUCGUUAUCUUCAUAGAUUGUAAUCAAGAUGUCAACGACGGGGUAAAGAUCGCAAAAGCUUGGAAUAUGCCCACAACUGCUCUCAACCAAAAGCAUUCCAGAGUUGCUUCGUGUAAGGCGAGAAUUUUAGCAUGGUUAGACUAAGUGGCAACUAAGGUCUGUUUAGUUGACCUCCAAGAAAUUGUAGUGCCUCCAAUAGUAAAGACAUAAUGUCAGCAUAACCAACAAGGUAAGAAUCGACUCGAGAUAAGGGGGUGAGACAUCACUCGAGGAUCCGUAAGGAUAGAACAAGCCCAAAUCCGCAUUAACCUUAAGGUAAUAGAAGAUGUCUUUAACACCAGUCCAGUGUCUGCGUGUUGGUGCAUUACUGUAUCUUGCUCGAAGAUUAACAUUGAAGGAGAUGUCGGGUCUAGUGCAUUGAGCUAAGUACAAUAAAGCACCUAUCGUACUUAGAUAAGGAACUUCAAGCUCCAAAAUCUCUUCAUCAUCCUUAUUUGGACGAAAGGGAUCUAGUUUUUCAUCUAGUGAUUGAACGACCAUAGGAGUACUUAAAGGCUUCGCUUUAUCCUCGUUAAAGUGGCGCAACACCUUCUGGGUGUUGUUCGAUUGAUGUUACUAAGAUUCCAUCCGAACGGUGCUCUAUCUCAAGAUUAAGACAGUAUUGAGUCUUUCCUAGAUCUUUCAUCUCAAAUUUCGACAUAAGGUGCGCGGUAGUUCUCUUGAGCUCUUUAAAAGUUUCGAUGAGGUUCAUGUCGUUGACAAAAACUGCAACAAUCACAAAACCGGAAUGUGACUUCUUAAUGAACACACAAGGGCAUAGUUCGUUGUUCACAUAUCCUUGACUAAUCAAAUACUUACUCAAACGGUUAUACCACAUUCUUCCAGAUUGCUUCAAACCGUAGAGUGAACGCCUUAGUUGAAUUGAGAGCGUGUUCCGGGAUUUGGAAAUAUUUGAUCCAGUCAAUGUAAGUCAUUCGAGAACUUUCAUAUAGAUUUUCAUAUCAAGAUCCCCAUAGAGAUACACAGUUACUACGUCCAUCAGCUGCAAUAUAUAUAUAUAUAUAUAUAUAUAUAUAUAUAUUAUUGAAAUAAUUAAUGAUGUUUAUUAAAAUCUAGGGACCUUGAUCAAAAAUUGAAAAGGAAUAAGGUUUUAAUCAAUGGACUAGGAAAAAUAGGGAUGAGAACCUAAUUUUUCCGUAUUUUAAAUUUUAAUCUCUAUUACACAAUUAAUAACAUAUUUGUUAAUAUUUUUUAAUUCAGGCAAGGUCAAAGUUUCCUGAGAUUGACAUGUUCAAGGAAGGAUACGUUUGCCCCGGCGAUGAGUUGGCCGAGCAACCCCAUGUAAAUUUUUGUAGUUCUUAGAUUUAUAAUUAGUUUCAAUAUUAAUUAAAGUUUUAUGUAAAUAUUAAUUAGAUUGUUUUUAUUAUUAAUGGAAAUUAUGGUGGAGAAGAGCCAAGCUGUUUUGCAAGAGGUGGCUUCCUAUCUCCCCUAAACACACCAAUAGAGGACGUUGUUCACAUCGAGGAUAUGGGUCAUCAUAUCUUGAUGGGCACACUCGGUCGUAGGCCGGGGAAGGUUUACUAGGGGAUGGGAAAUGCCCGCUUUAGUAACACAACUGCCUCAUCUUCCACUUCGAGCACAGGACAUGUCGCAAUGUUGACGACACAAGUUACGAACCUAGAGCAGCAAAUGGCAGCCCAGAAUGCCCACGUACAUUGCGGCCCAGGACAAUAGGAUAAGUGAGCUUAUACACGCCCUUUAAAUGUCUGGCUUUCAGUUCCCCCAAGCUCCAGCUGCUCUUCAGGCUCCUUCAACCUCCUAGCCCCUUGACCCAGCACAUAAACAGCCAGCCGAAGUAGUCAACAUGGAUGAUUCUAUUUUGUAGUGUUUUUUUAAUAUUUGAAUUUAUAAAUAAAUAAUUUUUUUGUUUAUCAAUUACUUUGUUAAUUUAAUUAAACUAAUUUAAAUUAAAUAUAAACCAUUUAUUUCAAAUUAAAAAAAAAGUUAAAAAAAAGGUUGCGCUAACACAACCUAACCUGGGUAGGUCGAAGCAUGCUGGCCAUCACCGUGAGGUGACAUAACCAUAAGGGUAAGUGAUGCAAAAAGUGAAUAAAUUUAAAACUAAUUAGAACUAGUUAUACUAAAUAGUGAAAGAGUGCGGAAUCACAAUUAUUUAGAGCAUAAUAGACAGUGAGACUACAGAAGAGUAGUCAAGGUAACUAAAGUACACUUAUUACACAACAGUGAUAAGUUCGUACGUCUAAACAGAAGAGAAUGCCAGAACUGCGGGGAUUCCUCAAGUGCCACAAAGAGUACAGCUAUCUAGGUCCUGGAGGGGCGAAAAACAAAAUUGAGUGGGUCAGCAUAACAAUGCUUUUACGAAAUCCUUUAUUUUCGAAUAUAGUAACCCCUCACCGUAAAACAAGUAUAGUUUCCUUAAAACAUACUACGUAAGUAUGUAAAUAAUAAAUCAACAAUAUGAUGACAGUAUAAAGAUCAUAAAUAUGCCAAGUCAUGAUGUAUCAAAUUCCACAAUAAUAUAAUCAUGUGAUAAUCAAGUAUAGCUAAGUACUCAUUCAUCUAGGCUGACACACGAGUUCGAAUAAAUAAUUUAUGAGAUGAAUAGGACUUGGUGUAAUCAAUAUACUCUAGUACUACGAUCACGUGAAGACUGGUGCAGAAGCACGUCACAUACAAGUCAGAUUGCCUAAUGUAAUCUACCUGACAGGACUGGCACCUAACUUGGAUCCAAGGCGAGUGAACGGUGCGAGGUGAACAUACACAUGAAGGACUGGCCUUGGCCAUGGGGGGAGUACUAACACCGAGGUGCAGCAAGAUGAGCACGUACAAAUAUGUAUGAAUGCCAUGACAGUAAUUGUGGAUGCAAAUUUCUUCCUCCUUGAUCUUGGACAAAAUUGCACCUACAAAACAAUUAACACCUUAGGGUCAAGGCCAAGAGCCUCAUGCACCCACGAUGAAUGAGGGGGGCUUUGGCCGAAGAACCUCUGAUGCCAAAGUUAGAAUUUAGAGAGAAAAGUGUUUGAAGAGUAUUGGGAACUUUGCAAGUGUGUUGGCAUGAUCUUUUGGUGAAAAUGGGAGUCUAUUUAUAGGGAUAGGGUGGCCGGUCCCCUUUGGAUGUUUUUUAGGGUGUAACUUAUGGUUUAAUGUGUGAUUUAAUGGAUUAAUUAGGCAAUUAAUCCAUUAAUUGGUUAAUCAACACAUUUUUGGAAUAAAUAUUUUGGGGGUUAUGUAAUUUAUAUGGGAUGUUUUGACGGUUAUGAAAUAAUUACCUUGUGAAAAAUAUAGGAAAUAACUUUGAAUUUGUUACCUAUUUUGGGCAUUUUUGAUUUGGUUGAAGGAUGAUUGCCCGCUCCUCAAGGGUAUUUUUGCCGGCUUUUGUCCAAAAAUCCACAUGUCGCCUUGUGAUUAUUUUUGGCUCCACAGUAAUAUCUCAACCAUAUAGCAGCAUUUAUCACAAUUAUAUUGCAGUUCUCAAUUAUUUGGCAAUAUAUACGCAAAGUGAUGUAUUUAUGCAAUUUUGUAAACUAUAAAAUACGUAUAGAUAUAAAAAUAAAUUGCCCACUCACAAGUACGUCACUUGGUCGUAGCCCUCGAGCCUAGCCUGGCCCCGAACGUCCUCGAGAUACUUUUCCCUUAUAUGUGAAAUAACUAAAAUAAAAUUAAUUAAAGCACAUAUACGGAAACCUAAAUAAAACCCCUAUAGUUUGCUCAAACCUAGGGUUUAAAUAUACCAUCGUGACCUACUCGAUGUCACGAGCAUCCCCAAAAUUUUAAAAUAAUUUUUGGACGGCUCACACGCCCCUACGCACCAUCAAGGGCAUGGCCAGACGCGUCCCCACGUGCAGGCCAGUGCCGUCAGUUAGCCUGACGCCGUCAGGAAUAUUCCACUGAAUAUUCCGUUAAAUGCUAACAAAAGUUAACGGCGUUACAUGACGCCGUCAGGAAUAUUCCAUCAACUCUGACAGAAUAUUCCGUCUCCUUCUUCGGUUGUCCUCGCCGUCGCCAUCGUCUGCAGCUUGAUUUUUCGCCGGAUUUCUGGAAAAUUUUCAAACUCACUAUUCUCAUUCAUUUCUCAACCAUUUUUGACGUACUUUAUAUUGAUUUGAAGCUAGUGAAGUAUACCUAGCCUGUUCCAUUGUCUGAAUAGCUCUGCAAUGGACUUGUGUGCCUACAUAAAUUAAUGAGCAUUGAUUUCUUGUGAAAACGAUUUGAGAUUUGAUGUUGAGAUACCUUGAUGUAGUACCUUACAUCCUUUGACUCGUGCUACAUGGUACCUUAUUACAUUUUAGUAUUAUAAUAUUUUUGGAAAACUAUAUACUUGUUUUACAGUGAGGGUUACACUUUUCGAAAAGGUUUUACAAAUCCUUAUUUUAUAGGCUUACUCACCCCUAUUUUUCACCCCUCCAAGAUUUUAGUGGUAGAGGUUUUGUGACGAUAAGGAUUGCUGGUAAAAGCUAUUAUGUAGGGGACUUCUCAUUUCAGUAUAAAAGUCCUUACUCUUGUUUUACUGUAAUUUAUCUAUGCUCUGAAACCACUUGUGUGAUAUGGGUUCAAUCCCGCUAACAUGCGCAUUCUAAAUUAGUCACGUUUAAGUUUUAAUUUAUUCACAUUUUCCUCAUCAUUACAAUUUACGGCUUCAUCACCUUCUAGGUAUCGGCGAGCACAUCGUGAUUUGGGUGGAUAGGUGGACAUUCCGGGUUCGGGUGUGUCAAAUAAUACAAUAAUACAUAUUUAGUAUACAAUAUACACUAUGACUAUUAUAUUUUAUAGUAAUUGUUUUAGUAGUUUAACUUUAAAAUUAUCAAAUAAUUGGUUUCUUAAUAGGUCGAAACGUGUUAUCCACGGGUUACCAACGUGUAAACUCAUACCAGCCCACUUAGGAAGAAACUAGGAUUCAAAACUUUAGAAUCACGUGUAGGUUUAGUGCAAAGAGUCCACUAAUGAGGAGAGAAUGGAUCUUUCCCUUCCUAGAUCACACAGAAAAAUGAGGAAGGAAAAUAAGGAUGAGCGUUGCCAAAAGUGACACCUGUGGAAAUUGACCAGGAAAAAAGGCAUUCUAAACAAAGUGCAUGAUUUAGUCUUCACAGGAGCAAUGACGUUCAUCAAUGUUACGCUAAAAAGGAAGGUAAUAGCUAUACCAAGGGAAAAAGAGAGGAAAACUUAGCUAGGAUAGGAAGAAGCAUGGAAAUCAAGGGAUUCCUUAAGGAAAUGUAGAAAGAUACAUGCGCCUAUAAAAGGGAAGGAUUAAUUCAAUGCAAAGGAGGACUGACCACAUGAAGGAAAUUUUUUGGAAAGAUAAGUUCAUUAAGCAACAUAAUACAUGCAUAUUAGAUGGCGGAAGCAUGUUUCUAUGCACUUUAAAACAAAGCUUACACCAUGAAAUUCAAAGCCUAGUAGUUAUGGUGAACCAAGACUUAACUCUAAAACAAAGUGAAUUGAGAAACUUUUAUACCUUUGAAGCACCUCAUUGCUUAGCAAAGGAUAUUCACCCAUGUGAGGCCUUCUUUCUUUUGUCUUCAUGCUCCUUGGCUUCAUCGAUAUGAAUGGAGGAACUUUACUUCUUAGCUGCAUGUCUUCUUGUAUUUAAUAGAACAAAAGGAUUCUCCAAAAGCCUCCAAAGUUGAAGGCCUCUAAGUUCUGACAACAAGGAAUGAUUAAAGGAAGAAGAUGAGUGAUGUAGGAGGAGGAAGAUACUAGUAUCCCCCUCCUACAUGGCCUCCUAGAGAGAAAGAGAGAGCAAAAUUUCUCUCAUCUUUCCUCAGAGAAAACCCUUAAAGAGGUUAAGGCUAUGAAUUUGCUUUUUAUACGUCUUUCUAAGUGAGUGGAAAACUUGUAAUAAGUCCACCACCAUAACUUAAACUCCAUGGGUCUUGUGGAUUAAAACCCUUUUGGACCCCGAAACCCGAAACUAAUGUAAAAGCCCAAUACGAACCUUUCGUAUGAUUAAGUAACAUAUUAAUUAAUCCUUAGUACAUACAAUUAAACUAAUUAGAUGUCUUUACUCAUCUUCAGUAAAUCCUUCAAUCAUUACCUUACAUGGUGUGUGAUCCAUUAGGUUGCUUUUAACGAGGCAGUGGGCGAUUAUAACUCUUUCUAGGUCGAUUGUGAAUCGAAACUUAACGAAAAUAUAAUCAAACAAUGGAAUUUCAUCAAUCGGAUGUCUAAUAUGAAAUUGGGGCACCCAUUUUAGCCUAGGGAGGUCAAAUGGUGUCUCUGCCCAUGCGCCGCCGCCGCACGCGGUGGCCGGCCACCCCGACUUGCAGAAAUGAAGAUCUUGAUGAGUAGAGUAAGUUUUAUACCUGUGACCAAGUUCAAUUUGACUGAGAAAAGCUCCAAUUUUCCUUGAACCCGCCCGAAACCCUAAAAAGGGUGGCCUUCGAUUCGGCUUCUCCGGUGCUCCGCCGCCUCCAAGGUUGUUUGGGGUUUGUUCCUGGGAUCAAGGAGAGUUUAAUAGGGGUGGUGGUUGAUGGAAUUUGAUUCAGAAAUGGCGGAUCACCGCUGUAGGUGCCUUCGAAGCCGUUGGUACGAAAUCACAAAACCUAGGCUUAAAAUCCACCAAUUAAUGAAUAAAAAUGGAAGAGGGGAGGUCAUGAGAUGGUUUCCAGGUGGUGUCUUCGGUUAAUUCGUCAAAAAUUGGCUGGGAAACCAUUGGUUUCUAUGGUUCUUGUUGGUCGGGUCGCAAGGGUUAAGGGAGACCCGGUUUGGCUUCCCUUAUGUUCUUAUUCUUUCAUUUCCCUUCUGUUCUCCUACUUGUUUCUUUCCUUACUUCCCUCUCUACUCCUCAUUGGUCGCCCAUUCCCCUAUUUUCUCUCAUUUCUCCUUUCUCUACUCUGAUUGGGCAGCAGCCCUCUUCUUCCUCUUUUCUUUUCUUCUUUCCUUCUCUCAUCCGUCCUUCUCCCUCAACUACUAUUAAAUAAUAAUGUAAUAACAAAAUAAUGUUAAAAUAAUAAUAUAAUAAUUAUAAGAAAUAUAUAAAAUAAUAAAUAGUAAUCUUUACAAAAGUACUUUUCUAAUUUGUAGUUUCGUAAAACCCCUAUCGUAACUCCGGUUUCGAUUCAGAUUACGCUUACGCGAUCAUCUCAUCGAGAACUUUGAGAGUACGGUAAAAUAGUAGUUCAUACAGGUCAUGAACUAACGGUCAACGAAAGUCAAUAAUCUCACAUCUAGGGCAUUUUUGUCAAUUCACGCUAAAAAUUAAUAAAACCGUAAAAGUAGGGACGAGUUGUCACAAUCUACCUACCUUAAAAAAAAAUUCAUCCCCGAAAUUUGAAAUCACUUGUUAUACAAAAGUAAUGAAAUGGCAGCGGGAAAAAUAAAUAUGUAAAGGAAGAUAUCAAGUUAAAGUGGUUGCAUAAAAGAGAAUUCCAUUCCGUCACGAUCGGAUUGCAAUGAUUCAUUUUUCAUGCCUCCAAACUCAAACUUCAUUCUCCUUCGAUACAAUACCAAAAUAUAAGACUUUUAUAAAAAUAUAAGGUCAAGAAUAGAUAUAUAAAAACAUAACGUCAAAAUACGUAUGUAGUGAAGUAAAGUUAAAAUAAUUGUACUGAAAUCAAAAGCGACCAUAGAUAGAUUUCACCUAUGCACUCAUAGUAUAACGUACUCCGAGAAUAAGCAUGUAGUAUCACUUAGUUAAGCCCAAACGAUAAAUAAAUAACUAGACGUAUAAAUAAGUAAAUAAAAUACUAACGUAGACAGACCUACAUGUCCACUUGUUGAACGAGUUCAAUAAAUAAGUUAUCGAUAUUACAAUCUGCAGCUCGUAAUACUGACAACUCACAAUUGUCUCGAUAAGUAAUUAACAAAUUCCCGAGGGUGCAACAUUACCAUCAUGCCCCUCAUUGGGAAAUACACAUAAAUCAUCCAAUUAAUGCCUCAAUUGCACUCACGUACUGCCCUCUCGGGCGACAACGCUGAGAGCACAUAAUUUGCUACAUUGUAAUCUCGAUCAUUCAAAUACAUGUUCACAAUACUCUUCUGUCAAUCAUGUGCUAUGCAUAAAAUUUCCGUACUACAUCUCAACAUUGCCGUACCCAAAACCAAAAAUUGUAAAAGUAGUUACAAGCAGCUCAAAUAAAAAUAACUAUGUGUUACAACCAUGCUAAUUGUAGAAUGGGCAAAAUGCAACAUGUCCACUAAGGUUUGAGUAGCUCGUUUCAGACUAACGUUAGUCUGAGGGUGAAAUGUGGUACGUGACAAAGCUUAAUACACAUAGCCUUCAAGAAGGCUUCCCAAGACUUGGAAAUGAAACACGUGUCACAGUGAGAUAUAGUAGUGACACACAUCAUAUAACCAAACAAUGCAGUUCAUAACACCAUAGUGAGCAGGUUUAUAUUGAAUUUGCCUCGAGUUUAGCAAAAACUAUGUCGAGAAGGCUAAAAGAACACUCAAGAAUCUAGGAGUCAAAACAAGUCCAUCAAUCUAGGAUACAAAGUAACCAGAGUGGACACAUGAUAUCUCACUACAACAGUAGUUUCCUAAAUAUUCAAUCACUAACGGUAAAGAUUCGUUCAACAAAGUAUUUGUUGGGUGAUUGAAGAAUUAAUCGUCACAAUUAAAAUUUCAAUGUCCGAGCGAUUCUUCACGAGCUUUGUGCGACGAACCAUGCAUUACCAAAAUUUCAUCGCGCAAAGUUUUGCAUGACAAAAUUGUAUUUUACGCAACAAACUUAUUUGGUCGCACAAAGUAUUUUUUGUAGUAAUGACUCUCUUUCUCUCAUUUGCACCCACGUCUACUUCUUUCCUACUUUUUCUAACUUCCCUAAUCCACUAAUUUUUUUACAUGAAUUAAAUUUAGUUCUUUUUAAAAUUUUAAAUCACAAGUGUGUAUGUGUAUCUAGUUCCUAAAUAAGAUAAUCUUGUUAGUCAUCUGGUAUUGAAAAUUUGAUAGGUAUAAUUUCUAUAGCUAUUUCUAGUUCCUAAAUAAAAUAAUCUUGUUACUAACAUGAUGCCUAACGUUAAUGGUGCGGUCACUCACAGCAACUCUGGUGUAGUUGAGUGGGAAGCUAAUGUUUUCGUGUAUGGAUAGGAGCCCAACUUACAUAAACGAGUUGACCACUAAAUAAUACUAAUGCAGUAUCAUAUGAAAGAGAAACUUACAAAUUACAUUGUACUAUUUAAUCGAGACAUCACAAAAGCAAGUAGGUUAACUUAAUCCAUAUAAGAGUUUGUUUAGAAGUGCUUUUGAAAAUGACUAAAAUCGCUUUUGGUAAAAUUGGUUUAUGAGUUCCAAAGGCACUUUAAAGAACCUGAUAUGAGCUUCUUACAAAAAAGUACUUUUUCAGUAUCCGUUUGAAUUUUUACUAAAAAUUGGUUUCAGAAAUGUUUUCACUAUAAAUAUUUCUAAUCAUUUUAAAAGUACUUAGUGAAAGUUGUUUGUGUAGAGAUGAGGGGGUGCGCCAGUUGUUUUAAUAGAAAGAGACACGAUAGGGACGGAAUCAUUCAAAUUUUGGUUUUAACUUGACAAGAAGUCUCUCUCACCCCAGUUUUGGUCACAAUUCUUAAAUAGUUAAAUGUCGAUUUCUUAAAAAUAAGUAUCUUUGCAGGGCAAUGCAAAUAUCUCAACAAGCUAGUUAAAUAAUCAAAUGUCUAAUUAGUUGACUUCCCAUUUCCCCCGCUACCCAUCCUGCGCGGACCCGCCAACAACAUAGACUACCCAUAUUCCCGCUAAGCCCACUCUCUCUUAUUUUAAUGAACAAUAAAUUCAAUUAAAUACUCGCAUUCUUCUCUCCAAUGACCAAUACCCACAAGGCUACAUACAAUGCAAUCCCCAGCCCAUCCAUUGACCUCCUGCCACAUUGCGGUGAUCGGCGCCGGGGCAAGCGGACUGGUUGCCGCACGUGAGCUACGCAAAGAAGGUCACAAGGUGGUGGUCUUCCAGCGAGGUGACCAAGUGGGAGGUACGUGGGUGUACGAUUUGUUUGGAUUAAUAUUUGAACCAUGGGCUGCAAGUAUGUAGAAACCCAAAGAUGCCGAUUAAAAGAAGACUUGCCGAAAGUCUAACAUCAAGCCCAAAGACAAGUUGGCGACUUCUCAUUAAUGCAUAGGCCAUAUGCCUAUGAUUUAAAAUGUCAAGUGAUGGGGACUAACUCACAAUCAGCCAAAAAACAUUUUUCAGUGGCAACACAAGUAAAAAGUUGAUGGCUCAUUACCCUCCAAGUGCCAUCUGGCAAGAGCAAAGUCACUGUAGUCGGGCUAAUCUACCUAUAAAGGGAGGAAGAGGCCCCAGAGACAAGGACACUCAACCAAUCAAAUAAACAAACAAACAAACAUACAAACUCUGCUCUCAAGCCAUAUUUGCAUCCAAAAGCUGUAAUCAGCCCAGAUCUCAGUCAUUCUCAAGAUUUCUCCCUCACAACAGCCAUCUUUUGUCUAGUUUAAAGCUCUGUUAUUGCUAGGAUUAAAAGCACACCACAAAGUAGUACACAAAUGUCCUAUUGAUUUUCCUUAUUAACACUAAGAUUUUUCAAUUAUAGCAUAUGAAAAUAAGGGUCUUUCCCGCAGAAGAUUGUUUCAUCUAACUACUUAAAAUGUCACAAAAACUGGGCUGCUGUCCAUAUUGAACAGCCACUGAAAAAUAAUUAUUAGACCAAUUUACACUUAUCUAAAGUCUAUGAAAUUUUAUAUACAGACACUAGACACACAGAGCUACAUUCACACAAAUGUUUGGGAUUUUUGGAUUUGAUUUGAUAUUUAAAUUAAAUCAAACAAAAAUAAGACUGAAACAGAUUUUAAGUAGUUCACAAAUUAAGAAAAAUGAAUUAGGGGAAUUGCUAUCCACCACUAAAUAAUCAUGUAAACAUGUUAUGUUUCAUUCAAAUUCCUUUUAUUUCCGGAUGAAGAUGCUCAAGUCGGCUCAAUGUUAGAACUCAACCUAUUACUCUUUCUUUUGUAGUAUGUUAAGAGAAUGACGUUUUCAACUUAACUUAAUCCCUAGCAUGCAAUCUAGAAUGGCUUGUUCGUAGAUCUAACAAGUAGAAAUCAUUAAGAAUGAAAAGAGUUUGAGUCAUCACAAGACAUCGUAAAUACUGGCGUUGUCUUACUUAUCCUAGAAAUUGGUUCACAUGUUAAUCGCAAUUAACAAGUACUACUCUAGAAUAUAUGUAGGUCCUCAUUCAACAAAGGCAGACAUACACAUAUUCAUAGCAUUAGAAUCCUAGAUAUGCUUACUAAGUAAGCAUCCGUAGAAAACACAUAAAGAAUUCAUCAAUGAGACAAGUAGUGGAUUAAUUUUCAUCCAUUCAUAAAAGUAAUUCAAACGAAAUGUCAUAACAAACUUGCAAUCAUAUUCGGGGCUUCAAAACAGCCCAUAACUACUACAAAUUUAGUUACACACAAUCCUUAAGUUAAAACAAAAGAUAGACAUGAGUUUGAGAAGAUAGAACUGUAAGAAAUCGACUGAGGCCUCCUCCUCUUUCCUUCCUUCCCCAACGCUACUUUUAAACCAAUUCUUGCUGCAUCAUUUUCUUCUCCUUGACUCACCCACUAAUAGCCAUUUAGUGAUGACAAUAAGUGAGAGGAAAUGAUAAAACAAUUGUAACUCUUUGGGUAGCCUUUAUGCCAAUUACUCCCUCUUAAUCCUUAUCUUUAAUUCCAUUCCCUUUUAUAUUUAGUGUCAGCUGACUUGUUUUUGGCUGCAUCAGUUUUGGUUGUUAGAUUUAUUGGGUUUAUUGCUUUCAUUGCAGUCUUGUCAGUUACAAAUUGCUCAGCCUCUUGGAAACCUUUUAGUGUUAAAAUGGCCAUAACAUCUUCUAGACAAAUGAUAUUAACAAUCCGUGGAAUGCUCCAGAAAAUAGACAUCUGUAGCUUUCCAAGCAUAUAAAGCUCAUUCUCUAAUUCAUUCUGAGCUGUUCGCAACUUGCUUCCAAAAUCAACGAAUCUGCACAGGCAGUUUUGACGAAUUUGUUACUUAAAAUCCCACUUGCGGUAUUUUUGUUUUCUUUGCUUGACAAAUCCCACAAAACACAAAAACAAAGUAAAUAGCUCAAAAAUAUAAGGAACUAACUAAGAAAAGACAAGUGAUUUUGAUGUGAAAUAUAUAUAUAUAUAUAUAUAUAUAUAUAUAUAUAUAAAUAUGAGCUUAUCAGUUAUCAUCCCUAGUGGCGUAGUAUCGAUUCCCUUGUGUAAACUUGUUUACCAAUCCAUCCCUUUUUAGUGAAUAAACCCUGUAAACUCAAAAGAGAAGUGAUUGCAAGAAAUUCAACAUUGCCCGACAAGGUGAAAUCUUACUCAAAGCUCUUUGUUUGUUUUAUAAGUUAAUAGAUCUAUUGCUUAAUGUCUUCUCCAACAUGUAUUCAAGUCAUUUCCACUAGUUUUCCCAUUAUAAGAGUUCCAUUUGCUUCCGGAUCUGAUUAGUUUAAUUGACAUGUUAUCAUUAAAAUCAAUCAAGAACCAAGUAAAUGACUUAAGAGGAUUUGGACUCCUUCCAUUCGAACAAACAAGACUAUGAACUAAAAGUCCUUGCUCACAAGGCAAGAAAAAAAACUUAAUGUGGACUUAACUCAUCCAUGACAAUCUUUCGAUAACAAGAAGUCAGAGUAACUUGGGGAGUAAGUAAUCGACUAAACACAAUCUUGUUCUACAUCUGCUAUACUAAGAUAGCAGUGGCACGCCUAGCACUUGGUUAAUUUUGAUUUCGAGCCUCAAGGCCUACAUCUAAGGCCUUACAAAGUCACCUUUCAAAACUAACUCUAUCUUCUUCUUGCAACACAUAAGUAGGAAAGAGCCCGACUACACAUCCAAAGUGCCAAUCCGUUCAGGAGAUAUGCUGAAAGCCGAUGAGGCCUCUUCGGAGAAAUCUUCACCCGAGCAUAGUUUUGGCACGCCCGAUGGGACAUCAUUAGUCUUGUAUGCCAAGAACAAGAAAGAAGGAGAAAACCUUCAGGUGGAACACAGAGUACAGGCUACCCUAGUGUCUACCAAGAUCAAACAUGACAGAUCACCCAGAUAAUGUUUCCUCAUUACAAGGACCAGCUGUCUUGAGAAGCCCGACCUCAUCUGAGAAGUCGGGGGGAAUGGUAACCAAUGAAGACUUGCAAGCCACCAUGGUGCAAGUGUUAAGAAGUAUAGAGAAGAUUUCCCUGGAAACCAAGGGAGAAGUAAACAGACUCUGUUCUUUAACAAGGAGUUUAUAAAGAAGACUAGAUUUGGGGUACUCUACUCCAAAUAAUGGUUAUGGGAGAUGAGCAAGCCCUGAGAAAGAACCAAUUAUUCCAUUAUUUCCUUUGCUUGAGGAAAAGCAAGGUAAAGAUAAAAACAAGGAGGAAUCUGGAGCUAGUCAAUCGGUGUUGGAAGAAAUCCUAGAAGCGGAGUUGCCCGAUCCCUCACUAUUUCACUUAAUAGUACGGGGCAGAGCGAGCAAGAAUGAAUGAAGAAUGGGAUGCCCCAGUUGAUCAGGGAAUCAAGUGGAAAAGGCAGGCCUACCAAGGUAGACAAGCAUCCGCCUUAUAGGUGUUGGAAAUGUGCUCUAAAGCCAAUCAUAUGAUGAUACUUUACGGACAUUUCACAUGUUAAACUAAUCUAGUUUUACAUAUAAAGGGCAAAGAUUAUUGUUUGAGCCGUCUCAUAUAAAUGUUAUAUGUUUAAACGAUAAAGUCCAAGGAAUAUGUGAUUGGGAGAAUGUAAUCUAAUGAAGUUAGAUUCAUGAGACCAUUCUUUCGUAGACACAUCCUAAAUGUUCCUGAUCAUAGGAUUGUCAAUUGGGCAUUGACAGUCCGUAAAGAUCGGUACGUACUAUGUCUUCUCUCAGGGAGAGUGAUUAGUCUCGAGUCAUUGGUGUGUGUGACAUCAAGACAAGUACGUAGGUGCUCAAUAGAGAAUGAGUACACUGAUCGUGAUCAACGAAGAGUUCUCAUAUUCCAUGUCACAUAAGAACUCAUGGUUGGGAUAAUGCAAAGUAGUCCUUUGACCUGAGGCAUCACAGUUGUCUUGUGGUUAAGUCCUUGAUCUUUAAUUAUGUCAAAGUCACCCCCUCGGGGUGUCCACGACAUCGUUGGGGUUAAGCCACUUAGCUAUGGAGACAAGUGAAUGCGCAACAAGGGAUCUCUAACCUUCAAACAGUUGAGGGAGAAUACUCUAUGAUAUGAUUUGGAAUCUCUGGCCAGAGUAUGAAUGAGAUUAGGGAAUGCGUUCCAAAUCACAUUCAAGGAAAUCAUAUAAGCAAACGAUUUACAUUGGAUAGUAGACAUGAGUAAAUAAACUAUCAUACCAAACAAUGUGGUCAAGAGUAUUAGAUUAGAGAAGGACCGUAUUGCAUUUGUAAUCCCGAACUGAAUAGGUUCUCCACCUCUUCUGAUUAGCUUGGGUAACCAUGAUAUGCUGCUAGGUGUCACUCAUGGUUUGUGGAAGCCCUAAACGUGUGUAAUCACUAAAGGGAGAAUUGAAAAUAGUUUCAAUUCACAAUCGAUGUAAAAUGGUUUUAAUCGCCCACUACCUCGCUAAAAGGAACCUAAUGGAUCGCACACCAUAAAAGGUGGAGAUUGAAGAUUAAACGGAAAUGAGUAAGAAUGAUUAAAUGGUUUAAUCAUUUAUUUAUGGCAAGGAUUAAUUAAUAUGUUAAUUAAUCAAACGAAUAAGUUCGUUAAAGACUUCGGGAUAGUUUUGGACCUUAAGGCCCAAUGGGCUUCGAACGUCAAGCCUAUUAACUUAAGUUGUAUGACAAUUUAAUGAAUGAAGAUUCAUUAAAGCCCAAAAGCCCAAAAUCCCCUAAAUGGCCGGCCAUGAUGAAAUGAAUUAGGGUUUUGGUUGUUUAGGUCACUUAAAGAAGUGACUAUAUAAAUGAUUUUAUAGCCAAAUGUUCAUUAAGUGUUAAAAGGGUUUAUUUUGGGGGAAAAUUGGUGAGAAUUGUCUCUCCAUUUUCUCUCUAAAGAGGCCAACACCUUGGAGGGUACAUCUAGCAAUCCUACUACUCCAAGGUCACUCAUUUCUUCUACAAUCAAACCUUGGUGAAGAGACUUAGAGGUUCCCUAUUUUGGGAACUUGGAGAAACCUAUUUUCCAUCCAAAUCCAUGGAUCUAAGAAGCAAGGAAUGAAGGCCCUAUCUCUUUGGGUGAUUAGCCUUUGCUUAUGCAAAGAGGAAUCUACAAAGGUAAUAAUUUCAACUCACUUUGUUUUGAGUUGAUUAUUGGUUCACCAAUCUACUAGGCUUUGAAUUUCAUGGUAAUGUUUUGUUUUUGAGUACAUGCAAGCAUGAUUCCGCCUUUAAUUGUUAAUUGCAUGCCAUAUGAUGUUGCUCAAAUGAACAUGUUUUUCCAAAAUAAUUCCUUCAAUAGGCCCCUACCAUUGGCCAAUAAGGGAGGGGAUGCCAAGUGGAGGAAGCACGAACGAAGAAAAGAGACUUUCUCGGGCAAUGAUCACAGCCUGAAAUAGGAACCUCCUCAUACUCUGCUUGAUAAUACAGCUCACCAACAACUCACAAAUGAGUUAGCCGAGUUGAUGAAGAUGGUGGCCCAGAAUGCUCAGCCACAAACUUCCUCGCUAUUUAGGAUUACUUAUCAGAAGCCCUAUCUUGAGUAUGUUGACGAGCAAAAACCUUUUCCAGUCAACUUUAAGAUGCCCGCAUUCCCAACAUUCAGCAGAGAAGAUAGCAAUGUGUCUUCUAGAGAUCACAUUUUCAAGUUUUCUAAUCACCGUGUGGCAUUUAAAGACAAUCCCAACUAUAAGUUGAGAUUGUUUGGGAACUCCUUGGUGGGCUUAGCAUCUUAGUGGUACUCUCUGUUGCCCCCUAAUUUUAUUGCCGACUGGGGGCAAAUGGAGAUAACCUUCCAUGAGCAGUUUUACAACGUCGAGCCUAAGAUGACUAUCAACGAUCUGGUUGAGGUCAAGCAGAAUGAGCAUGAAUCCACUAAAGACUUCAUGAUGAGGUUUAGGAGGAUAAAGAUGAGGUGUUAAUACACUAUAAAUCAUGCACAGCUCAUAUCCAUCGCUCAGAAGGCAUUAAGAUCGCCUUUGAGGAAGAAGUUUUAUGACGUGCAAUUCAAUGAGUUGCAAGAGUUAGUGAUUGCUACCACCAAGUAUGAGAAGCUAUUACUGGAUGAACAGCAAGUAAAGCACUCAUAUGUGCCUCAUUUUUACAAAAGCAAAGCUACAAUCCACCAAGUGGAGUUCGAAGAGGCAGAGCUAGAACAAAAUGAUGGCCACGAGAGAGAAGUGAUAGAUAUGUGCGUAAUGGAGAUGACUACCCCAUUCAAACCUUUGACAGUAAAGGGGUUAGUCCAGCUAGUGAAGGACCAGAAAGUGGUCAUGAAUGAUGGUGGUUUUGUCCCCAUGAAGCCCCCCCCAAAUACUAGAGUUAUUCCUUUGACUUAACCAAGGUCGCGAAGAUCUAUGUGGAGUUGGUUCGGGCAAAAGUGAUUGUGCCCGAUUGCACCAAAAAGCUGCCCAAGCCCAAAACAUUAAGAGGGAAGAAGUAUUACAAGCUGUAUGACACUUUCAAUCACUCCAUAACCAACUGUGUCCAGUUCAGGGAUUGGAUGCAAGACUUUAUAGUAAAAGGAAAGUUGUUGUUGGAGAAACCGCAAACCAAUAUGAUGAUUGACACUUACCCUUUCUAGAAGCCCCAAUAAACAUUAUCAACUUAAUGUGGGUUGAGAAAGGGAAAGGAAAAGCUACAUGUGAGGUGAAAGAAGAAAAGAGGCAAGUUGAUAAGCCGACUGAAAGAGCUAUCAAGUUGGCCGAGAAACCCAAAGCAACCAUAAUCAAAUGAGUGGUGUUGUGUAGUAAGUACCAAUAUGAGUGUGAGUUUGAAGUCCCAGCAUCAGGAGCCAUUAUCGAUCAGGAACUGAUCAAAAGAAGAGAGAAAGAAAAGCAAGAUGCCCGUAGAAAUAUCAUAUGGGCAGCUGAAAGAGAGACCUCUAGGAAUGUUUUCCAACGAUUAGGAGGAGACUUUCAACCACAGGGUUUAUCAGAAGUGUUCAGAAAUUACGAAACUUCUGAAGAGGUAGAGGAUAGAGAAGCCAAGGUACCAAGGUGCCAAGAUGGGUGGAUGUGAGGCCACCCCAACCAAGGUAUGUCGGUGGAUAUGUCAGAGUAAAAGGAAAGACAGUGAAUCCAGUCACAAAGAAGAAUCCUACCUGACUCAGGCGGAAAUGGUAUGUGAAGGAAAUAUUUGUGAAAACAAAUUCAUUUGAGCAACAUCUACAACAUGCAAUUAACAAUUAAGGGCGGAAUCAUGCUUGUAUGCACUCAAAAACAAAACUUUACCCAUGAAAUUCAAAGCGUAGUAGUUAUGGUGAACCAAGACUCAACUUAAAACAAAGUGAAUUGAGAAAUCUUAUACCUUUGUUGAUUCCUCUUUGUAAGCAAAGGCUAAUCACCCAAGAGAGAGGGCCUUCAUUCCUUACUUCUUAGCUCCAUGGAUUUCUUAGAGGAUGAUGGAUGAAUGGAUUCUUCAAGUUCCCAAAAUAGAGAAUUUCUAAGUCUCCACACCAAGGAGAGCAUUGAUGAAGAGAUGAGUGACCUAGGAAGAGAUAGAUGCUAGUAAUCUCUUCCAAGGUGGCUGGCCUCCUAGAGAGUCAAGAGAGCUUUGUGUUUCAAGUUGUCAUACAACUUGAGUUAAUAGGCUUGACAUUCAAAUCCCAUUGGGCCUUGCGGCCCAAAACUAACCCGAGGUCUAUAAUGAACAUAUUCGUUUGAUUAAUUAACAUAUUAAUUAAUCUUAGCCAUAAAUAAUUAAACCAUUUUAAUUACCCUUACUCAUCUCCGUUGUUUCUUCAAUCUCUACCUUACUCGGUGUACGAUCCAUUAGGUUCCUUUUAGCAAGGCAGUGACCGAUUGUUAUUCUUAACGAUCGAUUUUGAAUUGAAACAUACUUUCAAUUCUCCCUUUAGUGAUUACUCACCUUUAGGUCUUCCACAAACCAUGAGUGACACCUAACAACAUGUCAUGCCUACCCAAGCUAAUCAAAAGAGGUGGAGAACCUAUGCAGUUUAGGAUUACAAUGCAAUACGGUCUUUCUCUAAUACAAUACACUUGACCACAUUGUUUGGUUUGAUAGUUUAUUCACGUCUAAUAUCCAAUGUGAUUCUCUUACUUAUAUGAUUACCUUGAAUGUGAUUUGGAAUGACUUUCUAAAUCUCAUUCAUACUCUAGCCAGAGAUUCUUAAUCAUAUCAUAAAGUAUUCUCUCUUAGGCGGUUUGAAGGUUAGAGAUCCCUUGUUGUGCAUUCACUUGCCUCCACGGCUAAGUGGCUUAACCUUAGCUAUGUCGUGGACACCCUCUGAUGGAGUGAUUUUGACAUAGUCAAAGAUCAAGGACCUAACCACAAGACAACUAUGAUGCCUCAAGUCAAAUGACUACUUUGCCUUAUCCCAACCAUGAGUUCUCAUGUGACAUGAGUAUGAGAACUCCUCGUUGAUCGUGUUUAGUGGACUCAUUCUCUAUUGAGCACCUACAUGCUUGUCUUAGUGUCAGUCACACCAAUGACUCGAGACCAAUCACUAUCUCAACGAGAAGACAUAGCACGUACUGAUCUUAACGGACUGUCAAUGCCCAAUUGGCAAUCCUAUGAGUAGGAAUGUUUAGGAUAUGUAUAAGAAAGAGAAUGGUCUCUUGAAUCUAACUUCUUUAGAUCACAUUUUCCCAAUUACAUAUUCCUUGGACUUAUCGUUUAAGCAUAUAACAUUUAUAUGAGACAGCUUAAAAUAAUAUAAUUUUUGCCCUUUAUAUUAAACUAGAUUAGUUUAACAUGUGAAAUGUCCGCAAAGUAUCAUCAUAUGAUUGAUUUUAGGGCACAUUUCCAACAGUAUAUGGUUGGAAAUGAUGGGAAGCCCAUCAAAGAAAUGGGAGCCUCCAUGAUUAGGAGAGUUCAGAGGCAACACAAAGCCUACGUGAACUCAUUGAAUGUCCCCACUGCCUUAGAAACCUUUGAGAAUAUAAAGUUUGAGAAAGCACCUGAUGGGGGAAGAAAUUAACUUCAUUGAAGAACCAAGAAAGAGGUUGAAAAGGCUAAUAGCAAGACCGAAGGGGAAAGAGACCAUGUGCCAUAUAACCCCCAUCCUGGGAAAUACAGAAUCUUAAGGAGAGCUCAAGAGGAUAUGAUGAUGAUGCCAAUAUGGUGAUGGAGCCUAGAACAAAUAUGCUUUGGAACCAUCUCACCGAUGAGGGGGUUGCCCGCCCCAUUGUUGGUUGAUACUCUUUGUGAAGUUCCACAACAAAUGUCGAACAUUGGCAUAGCCCAAGAGGAAGCGUUGCCCAAACUUAUGCUGGCCGCAGAAGCACAGGCUUGGUUGAAUGAAUUCAUGGGCCACAUUGGGAGCAAGAAUGAGGUCUUACCUAGACCCAUUAACUUCCGCAUAAACAUGACAUAUGUUUUAUCUGCCAUGUUUUGUGCUGAGCAUGAUCAACCUACCACAAUAGAGGGUGACUACUUAGCAACAUAACCUAUGAUGGCACAUGUUAGUGUUGAAAAGGCAGGAAAACAAGAGUCGGGUAGAGUAGAUUUGCCUGAGCCUACAAAGAGAGAGCCCGAGAGAGUGUACAUUGACAUCAUGGUUUGUAGUCGCCCGAGUUUGACCUUAGACAACCGUCUCAAACCCAUUUAUGUAACUGCUCAUAUGAAAGGAAUGCCCUUUAAAAGGGCUUUCAUUGAUGGGGGAGCCGCGGUCAAUGUGUUGCCUUUCAAGCAGAUGAAAAUGGUAUGUAGAAGUGAAGAGGAUCUCGUCCCCAUGGACUUAACAGUUUCCAGUUUUUCUGGAGCCAUCACUAGAACUCAUGGGAUAUUGCCCUUUGAGGUUGACUUGGGUUCAAGCAGAUCAUGUUAGCUUUCUUCAUUGUGGAUAAUACUUCCACAUAUGGAGCUUUAUUUGGCCGAGAUUGGAUUCAUCAGAGUCUCUCGGUACCUUCCACCCUGCAUCAACAAGUUGCAGUUUACCACGAGAAAGGAGCUAUGGGACCUGGAUUUUGGGAAAUGGUGAAGGCCGAGUCACGCCCAUUCCUCCCCACUGCCAAUGUGGCAGAAGCCAACUUUUAUAAUCCUAGUAUUAGGAUUCUCCAGUGUUUAGGAGCUGAUGAGAAUGGCGGCCCGACUAAGGUGACGGCCCAAAAGCUUUUGGAGCAAGGAUCGCUCCUCACCAGGGAAGACUAAGAUAAACCCCAUAUUGUCCCAACUCCCCAACACCAGUAAUUUCAGAACAAAUAAGAAGGGACCAGGUAAUUGCAGUCAGGUCCUUAAUCAAAAGACUUCUGGUGUAUGGAAGAGAGAAAAAGCAAGAAAUGGAAAAUGUUACUUGACUGAUUUGGGGAAAAACUUGCAAAACCAUCCAGUUGGUGCUAAGUUUUUAAGAAAUGCCAUCCAACUGUCUGGGUGUUAGAGAUCGUUUUAUUAAAGAGAGUUAAUGAUUUCAUAAAGAUGUAAAGUUAGAGGAGACAAUAAAAACUUCAAUAUAAUGCAAGAGGUGAAACAAGUCAAGGUGAACAGAAGUAUGUUUUAUUUCAUGAAAAAGGAUUACAUUCAAUCCUAGCCUAACAGAUGUACAUCUUUACCAAGAGUAAUUAUUCUAGAGUAAUAAGUCUGCAUAAGUGUGAAAAUUAUGGUAGGUUCGGCCAAAACUGUGAUACUAUUGAGAAGUUGAGACUUGGCAUCGUCAAGUUCCAUAUUUUCUUUCUUCACUUCCUUAAUUUGCUGCUAAAGUUUACUGAAGAGAGUCAUUUGUUCGAUCUUCAACAUAGCAAGUUACUCCUCUAAUUUAUGGAUAUCAGAGGACACCACCUUGAUCCUAUCCUCCAUUGCUGAACCUUCAUCCAUUAGUUGAUGAAUUUGAGUUGAAGUACUGGAUUGUUUCUCCAUAAAGCACCUUACUCGAUUGGCUUGCCUCUCAGCCUGACUAUGCUGAUUUUCUAAGAGCCUUCAAGUUCUCGAAAUAUGAGAGAAAUGGCUCGUACUGAACUCUUGAUAGUUGAUCGGCCUUGAACAAGUCAGUCACGGCUUUUGUCUACAUCAUGGAAGGCCUUGAGGCUGAAGGAUGCUGAAAAAUCCCUCCUAAACCAUUCUUGGAAGACUCAGCGUUUAUCUUGAAAGCCUAAAGACUCAGAUGGAUGCCUUGAAUAUCUCAGCUUUAUCUUAAGCUGCCCAAAUUCCUUAAAAAGCUCGGGUAGAGAUACUGUUGAGGGAACCAAUACAGGAGAAGAAGGUCGUGCUCCCACUACUUUAGAGCGUGCAGCAAGGGAGGAGGCUUCAACAGAAGGAGGAGCCUGAGAGAUAGAAACAAUAGUGGUUUUGGUCUUCUUUUUGGGUAUAGGGAUAGGAGUUCUUGUUACCCUAGAAGCUAGAGGAGGUCGAGAAAGUUCUGUUUUGCGCACCAAAUGCGGUGGAGACUUGCCCGGACCUUCCCCAGAGCCCUAUUGCAACCAAGGGAGAUAAGUUAAGAAAAGAGUUUAUAGUUCAGAAUAGAGGAAGUCAAAGACAAGAGAGGUCAAUAUACCUGAGUUGAGUUCAGAACCAAGGAAGGAGAUGGAGGAUGAGUUAUUUCUUUUUGUGGAUAAGGACCAUCCUUGCUAGUUGAAGAAUGAGGAAUAAUGCCCGAGCCAUCACCAAAGGCCUAUAGACAUCAAAAAGACAAAUGUCAAAAGGACAGUUUGCAAAAAAUAAAAAGCAAAAGUUUAAAUAAUUAUAUACAUGAGGUUGAGAGAUGGGUGAUUCAGAAGCAACAACUACAUCAGAAGGAUCUGUAGCUUGAGAUGCCUGCGGGGAAGUGACCUCUGAAACCACAGGGAUCUCAGGGACUACGGGCUUCCCAAAUGGAAAUGUUGCUGAUUGAUGAAAGGUUCAUGCAGGGGAAAACUGAAAAGAGUAAAAUGAAAAUAAGUAUGAAAUGAGGGAAGUUUCAAGCAUAAAAGUGCUAAAAUUACAAAUAUUCACCAAGUUAGUAUCCUUGUCUACAAAAUGCAGCAUUUUCUUUGUCUUCAGAUUGAAUUGGGAGGUUAGAGUCACCACCAACACAGGUUCCCCAACCUUAACCUACAAAAAAAAAAUGAAAGACAAGUGUUGAAACUCUAAGAUUGGUAGAAAUAAAAGCCAAAAUAAUGAAAAAGGGAUGUACCUUUAGAGACUUAGCCCGUGGAGGGGAAGUUUGUACCAUUCGAGCUGGAGAGGAAGAGGUCUUGGGCGGAGAAAUCCUUUCUUUCCUUAUGACCUAUUUCAGAAAUCAGGUAGAAAGUCAAAAAGAGAGUAGAAAAGAAAAUGGAAGAACUCAAAGAAAUGAAACUUAAGGUGCAAGUUAUACCUCAAGUUCUUCCAAGGUGAAAUCUUGUAGAUUUUUGGCUUGUAAACACAUCUCAGCCUGCAGUGGGUCUUCCCUUGAAGCGAUAGUAGGCUUUUUGGUUGCUUGGGGCCCUAAAGUCAAAGGAAAUAGUAGUUGUUAGAUCUCAUUACAAAAUUGCUAUCCAAGAAUAAGAGGAAUUAAACAAGGUUUGCUUACUGGAGGCUUUCUGCUUUUUCCUACCCACAUCGACCUCAGCUACUGAAGUAGAAGACUUAGAGGCUUUGAAGGUCUGUGCCCUCGUCUUUUUCAUUGUUGGAACCGGCCGCUCUUCGGGCUUAGACUUUGAAGUCUCUACCAUCGUUGCUCGAGUUCGACGUGUAGCUCGAGACUUGACUAUAGGAUUUGCCUCACCCUUAGAAUCCCCAAGGGGAGGCAUCUUCGCCCUAUCCAGCACCUUGCUUUUUUGCUUCAGCUGCAGUUUCCUAGAGGAUGAAUGAGUCUGCAACAUUUUCAUCUUGCCCGAAAACAACCUUUGCAGGGUUGCCUUGGACUGCAAGUACAAAGAAACCAAAAAAAGGAUUAGAGAGGGCGAAUUCAUGAACAUUUCAAGUUAAAGGGGUAAGAAAUACAUAUCAAAAUGAGUUAAUUCUUCUGAUGAAUCAUUUCCUUCCAAUCUUCAAGCUCAGUUAAUUUUGGAUGGGACUUGAUGGAUAGUUGCUUGGAUAGGCGGUCAUGAGCUUCAUGCAGAUCUCCUCCAUAUUCUUAGUCCAUUUUGAUUCCUACCAAGAUAAGAAAUUUGAAGUCCCUUCGAAGUUCAAAGCCAUGGGCUUUCGGGCAACCUUGCUCAUGACCUCAAGACUGCAUUUGGCAGCUUGAAAAGUGACUUCAGGUAGGGAGCGAAAACGGUAAGAGGUGCCACAUUGAACAAAGUAAAAAAAAGGGAACUGGAAUGGCUUGCCUAAAGCCCAAUUGCUACUACAUAAGUUUAGAUGAUAAACUUCUAACCCGUGCUCAUAGCUGUCACUUCUUACACCCCAAGCCAGAUCCUUCGAUUUGAUGCAGCUGAUACAUCUCUCUCUACAAAAGGGACUAGCAUCUUCUCCAAAAGUGUCAUGGAAGGUCUAGUCAGAUAACCAAAAGUAUCUCCUUAGGACUGAAGCACCCCAUUCUAGAUCUAAUCGAGUCCUGCAUACUCUGAAGAAAUAUAGACAAACGAAGGUUGAGUGAUUGGUUGGAGAAGCUUCAGCUAAAAUUCGGGCAGGGCUACUCCUUCUAGAAAUUCUAGGUUGGGAGUCCGAAGCUCAAGAAAAUACCAUUGAAGCCAAAGUUAGAUCAUCCAAGUUGGACCAUUAAGGUUGGUUUCAAAUGGUUCACCCUUUGUAAUUUCGUACAGGAGAUGAAAGAGAUGAGCAAGGGGAAAUAGGCUCGUGGCUACAUCGUCAAAGUUGUGAAAAGCCUCUACUAGGGGAAUCCAUUCCACUUUCACUCCUUUAGAUUUAUUGGGGAAGACAUGUUUGUUGAGCUAGUAGAGGACAAAAUACAUGUGUUCCUGAUCUUUGUUAGCUUGGGACGAAGAGGGGCCAAAUUCCUUCUUGCCAACGAGAUAAAACCCGUGAAUGAAGUUCCAUAACUCUUGAAGGUUGCAAAGUUAUAAUCUAAAUGAAGAAAGGGGGAACGAUGCUCGAGCUCUCAACAGUCAUGCGAGAAGAAGGAGCCCAAUCGUGGGUAACGUCCACGAUUCUGCCCGAAUGCCUUAGACUGAAGACCUAAGCCAUGUCUAGGAUGGUCGGGGACAUAGGGCCCAUUCUAUAAUCGAAAGUAUUGGUGCCCGACUUCCAAAAGAGGAAUGCAGUUGUCAACAGCUCAGGCUUGGCAAUAACAAUUGAUUUGGACAACAUUAUCAGCUCAUAAAUUCUGUUAUUCAUCCACUUUUUCUUGAAGGUUGGCUCUUGCUAAUUGAUCCAUUAUGCCCAUCCUUCAUCCUUUAUAAAAAGGAAGCCACGACGAUGAUUCAACCAUUUGGAGGAUGAAAGGGGUUUGGGGUGAACCAUUUCUCCUUGGGCAUAUUGUUUUCAAUAGCAAUUGGGACCUGAGAAGUCCAUGCAGGUCCCAAUGAGUGCACUCAUCCAUCCUCGAAGAAGAGUUCAGUGUGCAGGCCUACUCGAAGGCGAUGAAGGCCAUUGAGAAGACGGCACAUAAUGGAAAUUCCCUCGCCAGUCUCGCAGGGAGAUUGGGUUUUAGCAGCUUUAGAUGCCAUUGGGUAGAGUUGAAGGGGACUGAGAAAGCAAAGAGGAUUUUUUGGGAAUUAUGAAGGUUUUGGGAAUUCAAGGGCUUGGAAUGGCUAUGGUAUUCUGAAGGGUUUAGGAAAGGAUUAUAUAGUAAGUGGCCAAUUAACGGUGGAGUUCAUGGGUUAGUGCAAAGGUUUUAGAUAACCAACAGUUGCUUUAAAUGGAGCAAGUUCCGAGCAAAAGUGUGUGACGGCUAUUCAAUCAUUAUUUACGCUUCGGUUUGCAAGCUCAGCAACGAUUGAAGAGGGCACUAUUUGGGUUAAUAUUUGAACCAUGGGCUGUAAAUAUGUAAAAGCCCAAAGAUGCUGAUAAAAAAGAAGACUUGCCCGAAGCCCAGCAUCAAGCCCAAAAACAAGUUGGCACCUUCCUAUUAAUGCAUAGGCCAUAUGCCUAUGAUUUAAAAUGUCAAGUAAUGGAGAUUAACUCAUUAUCAGCCAAAAAGCACUUUCAAUGGCAACACAAGUAAAAAGAUGAUGACUCACUACCCUCUAAGUGCUUUCGAGUAAGAGCAAAGUCACUGCAAUCGGGCUAAUCUGCCUAUAAAAGGAGGAAAAAGCCCCAAAGACAAGGACACUCAACCAAUCAAACAAACAAACAUAUAAACUCUGCUCUCAAGCCAGAUUUGCAUCCAAAAGCUGUAAUCAGCCCAGAUCUCAGUCAUUUUUAGGAUAUCUCCCUCACAAAAGUCAUCUUUUGUCUAGUUUAAAGCUCUGCUAUCACCCAUAGUGGCACAGUAUCAAUUCCCUUGUUUAAACUUGUUUACCAAUCCAUCCAUUUUUAGUGAAUAAACCCUGUAAACUUAAAAGAGAAGUGAUUACAAGUAGUUUAACCUUGCCCGACAAGGUGAAAUCUUGCUCAAAGCUCUUUGUUUGUUUUAUAAGUUAAUAGAUCUACUACUUAAUGUCUUAUCCAGCAUGUAUUCUAGUCAUUUCCAUCAGUUUUCCAAAUAUAAGAGUUCCAUUUGCAUCCGGAUCUGGUUAGUUUAAUGGACAUGCUAUCAUGAAAAUCAAUCAAGAACCAAGUAAAUGACUUAAAGGGAUAUGGACUCCCUCCAUUUGAACAUACAAGACUAUGAACUGAAAGUCCUUGUUCGCAAGGCAAGAAAAAGAACUUAAUGUGGACUUAACCCAUCCAUGACAUCCUUCGAUAACAAGAAGUCCGAGUAACUUGGGGCACAAGUAAUUGACUAAACAAAAUCUUGUUCUACUUCUGCUAUACUGAGAUAGCAGUGGCACACCUAACACUUGGUUAGUUUUGAUUGUGAGCCUUAAGGCCUACACCUAAGGCUCUACAAAAACACCUUUCAAAACUAACUUUAUCCUCUUCUUGCAGCACAUCAGUAGGCAAAAGCCCGACUACAUCCAAAAUACCAAUCCCUUUGGGAGCUGUGCUGAGAGCCGAGGAGGUCUCUCUGGAGAAAUCUUUGCUCGAACACAAUCUUAAUGUGGAGUCUGACCCAAUUAGGGUUAACACAAAUAAGACCCUAGUCCACUUGAGCAUGUAUGAGUCACUGAAGACCAACCUCCCUAGAGAGACUAUGGGGUUUUAGAACUAUCCAUUUGUGGCCAAGGAAGGAGAUGAUGAGAAAGACCCAAGAACGUAUCCAGGUCACAGAGAGGUACUGAUGUACUUGAAGGACUUCGCCAUAGAGUUCGAGAUAUCGGAGAUUGUGAGGUUGGAGACGGAGAUGGUAGUGGUGGAUGCGUUGGAGGGAGGGAAUUGGGAGGUCAAGUCCAAGAGUAAGAGAGAUGUGGAAGAUGAGAUUUAUGAUGUUGUGGUUAUGUGUAAUGGGCAUUAUACUGAACCUCGUCUUCCCCAAAUCCUAGGUAUUUAAGACUUCUCCAAAGCUCUGAACUUUGUGGUCUUUUGUUCUUCAGAUUGUUUGAGGAUGAAUUUGCAUCGUACUGGGAUGGGUUUUUAAUUCUUUGAUGGAUUAGAAUUUGCCCAAAGUUUGCACCUAGGAGUGGGUUAAAAAAAGCAAAAACUAAAAAAAAUCGAACUGAACACUGAAUCAAAACCAAAAAACCGACCUUAAUUAAACAAAACCUAAUCGAGAUGUUUUGCUUUUUGUAAACAUGGAAAUUCCUGCGAUGAACGAGACAAGAAACAUGUGUACAAAAUAAUAUUUGUAUUGAUGAUUUAGGGGUUACAAUCUCUUCUACAAAUUUAGCCUCUGAUUCUAUCUUUGUAAUGGGUGGAUUUGAUGUUGUUGAUCCAAAGGGCCGUCGGGGCUUGAUCUAGGGAUGAACGAAUGAUGAAUGAUGAACACUUUAUUCAAGGGCCGUGGGGGAGGGCUUGAUCUUGAAUUAGUGGAAGUUCUUCAAGGACCGUUGGGGCUUGCUUUUGAAUGAGGAUUUGACGAAGAACAAAGAGAGCUUUCUUGAUCCUUCGGGAUUUGCUUGGGAGCUUUGGAGUUUCAAAGCUUCAAGGUUGUGGUGUAAGGUGAAUUGGUUAUGAAUUGGUGUCUAAAAAUGAAUGCCUUGGCCUUCUAUUUAUAGAAUUCCAAUACUUGAUUUUUUUGGAUUUAAAUAAUCAGAUGAAAUAAAUCAUUUCUGCCAGGUGUUAACAUGUGUCCCGUUUGAUGACUUUUCUGAUUUAUUUUAAUUUUUCGUUUAGUCACAUGCUAUGUGUAAAAUUUAUGUGACACAUAAACAUUGAAAUUUUAAUUAUUGAUCAACAUUUAUUUUACCGAAAUUUCGAUGUUUACAAAUGCCCCCACUUCAAGGCGCGUCGUAUACAUGUGCUUGUCACGUGUAGAAGAUGCGUUUUGAAGUCCCUUACUGCAGAUGUUGAUCUAAGGGCUGUUGAGGCUUGAUCUUGAACUGGGUUGGUGAUUUCUUCAAGGGUCGUUGGGGCUUCAUCUUGAACUUUGUUUGAAAUUUCUUCAAAGGCCGUUGAGGCUUGAUCUUCGAGGUUGAAAUUGGACCACAAGGAACUUCAUGUGGUAGAUAAUCUUUUGCUUUGGUAGUGGGCGAAUCGGCAUGUAUUUUUUUGCGCUUGUUGACUUUCCACAGCUUUGAUCUUGAACCGGUUCGGAGGAGUUUCUGGUUUCCUUCAAUUGUUGACUUUCCACAGGCUUAUUCUUGAACUGGGUUGGAGGAUUUUCUAGUUUACUCCAAUUGUUGACUUUCCACAGGCUUAUUCUUGAACUGGGUUGGGAAGAUUUUCUGGUUUCCUCCAAAGGACUUUCCACAGGCUUAUUCUUGAACUGGGUUCGAGGAUUUCUUCAAGGGCCGUUGAGACUUGAUUCUUGAAGGUUGACUCGAACACAUGGCAAGCAGUCACAAGGUGAAGGUGAUGGCCUGUUUCUUUGUUCAAUCUUUCUAAUUCACACCUGAGCAGUUUGGUCAACGGUAUGAUCUUCAAGAGUGAUGGGCUUUUCUUCCAGUUGGUGACUUGAUCUUUAAGGAUUAUCGAGACUUUGCUCUUUGGCGAUAGUGCCAGUGAAAGGUUGUUGAAGCUUCUCGAGCUCUUUGGUUAUAGCAACGAUGGCAGGCUUGGAUUUGACUUAGACCCCUCCGUCUGGAUUAUGCAAGUUCUGCCGAGCAGGGUGUUCUGCCAUAAUGAUUUGUUUUGGCUCAUCGUGCUGCGUUUUUUUUUUUUUUGCUUGUUUCUUCCACCUAACCGAAGUGGUGCGCAACCCUUUGCCUUUAAAUGGUCCUUUAGAGUAUCACUUUUAAGCCACUCAUCCAUGCUUGGCAGCUUCAGUGUAAAGAGCCAACACCAUAUCAACUGUUUUGAAAUAUUUGCUGAGGAAAUUCGAUAUCCGUCAGCAGUUGAAGAUGAGUACUCAAGAGCAACGCUAGGUAAGCAACCAGGCAAAGGUUCUGGGCAAUCAGUUCCUGAUCGGACGUUUAAUUUCAGGUUCCGACUGAUUGCUUCCUUUCUCCUUGUUCUGCAGGCAAGAACAAGGGCAAAAGGAUAGGGAAAAAGCAUGAUAUGAGAUACCUUUGCUUUCAACCCCAAUGAUAUGAGAUACUUUUGCUUUUGAAGAAGUAGCGGAUGAUCAGCAUAUGUAUUUGUUGAGCUUGACUCCAUAUGUUUCGAUGCAUCAUUUUCACUCGCCUCUUCUGUUCUCUGGGCAGAUGUGGUAUCUUCUCUAGAAGCAUAAAAUGUUGAGAUAAUGGGUACUUCGAGAGCAGUGCUAGGUGAGCAAUCAGGAAAGGUUCCAAGCAGUCGGUUCCUUACCAAGAGCUUGAGUGGAGGUUCCAACAUAUUGCUUUCUUUAUCCUUUUCUUCGUAGUGAAGAAAGAUGACAAAGAAAAGGAUAGGGAGAAAGCAUGCUAUAAGAUACUCUUGCUCUCAACCCCAGUGAUAUGAGAUACCUUUGCUCCGGUGUGACUUGGUUGAAGAGGCGUUUCCAGGGAGGAAGAAAACUGAGUGUGUCAAGAGGUUUUAGUUGGAGAUGUAUUCUUAGAAAGGAAGAAGAGUCAGGCGUUUGUAUUUUCAGGGAGGAAGAAAACUAAGUUUUGGUUACGGAUGCAUUCGGCAAGGAAGAAGAGAAGUUGGAUGUGUGUCUUGCUAUGGAGGAUGGAGGUUGAAUUAUAUGGUGAGCUUCCAACAGCAAGUGGCAGGGUGGAUGUGGCCUUGUCUCCCAUGCUUUGUCGGCUAAAAGUCGGGUAGGUGGGUAUGAUGGACUCCACACGUUUUCAACUUUGUCAGUGCUUUCUGGCAAAGUUGUACAUGAUUUGCACGUGAUAGCCGAAAAUUGAAACUGCGUUUAAAAAGUGUCGGCGGAUUUUACGCAGGAAAAUCCGGGUUUUGAAAUUCGAAGAGUGGCGUCUCUUCGAUUUUUUUUUUUUUUUUUUUUUUUGUGAACAAGUGGUUGUGUUGCCUCUUCUUUUUAAAGAGGUGUCAAUUGCAUUCAACAUGCACACUUUGAAGAUUGCCCGCCUUUGACAAUCGUCUUUGUUGUAUUUCUGAGAUUUUACUCACUUCAACCCUUUUCUUUUACCAUCUUUUUGGAAAUGGCUAACCUGUCUAACAUUUGCUUAGAUUUGAGUCUCAGCAGUGACACAGGUGCACCGCGUCAGGGUAAUAUAUGGCGCCCGUCCUUCUCAUCUCCUAAUGGCCCUCUUACAGUUGAAGACUCUGUAAUGAGGGAUGCGGCAAUGGCUACGGUUGUAGCUAGGAACCUCAUCACUCCUAAAGAUAAUAGGAUUAGGGCUGGGUUCGGUUUAUAACGGUUCGGUUUUUUGCCAAAAUCGAAACCGAACCGAAAUUUUGGUUCGAUUCGGUUCGGUUCAUUUUUUUUCGGUUCGGUUUUUUUCGGUUUCGGUUUUUUUCGGUUCGGGUUUCGGUUUUUUCGGUUUUUUUUUUUUUUCUCAAAAACUAUCAACCUCCCAGUUCUCAUAUAUCAGCGAAGUGAGAGCCUCAAAAUCCUGAAUAUAUUCAAGCAUUUCAACUACUUAUGAUCAAGCAGAUCGAAUUCAAAAUUUCAAAACUUAAGCAAAUACAGAAACAUAUAUUCUUCAAGGAAAUGUACAGGAUUCGAAAUUCUAAAACUUUAAAAUUUGCAAAAUCAUGAAAUAAUUCAACAAAUUAACUGAUGCAGAUCGAAACAAAAAAAAAAGCAAAUGAGUUCGUCUAAAUGCCAUAAUCGGACUCCAAUAUCGCAUGCCCAGUGCCCACAUUCAAAUUCAUAGUCAAGUCCACAAUAGAUCUAGAAAAAUACAAAACAUAUUCAGAGAAAAAUACAAACUUUUCCACCUUAAAUUACAUAAAUUUCAAAUGGGUAACCAUAAAAUUAAAAACCCAUAAACUGAAAAAUAAAUAAAACCCACAACCUUUGCUGCAGCGACAUCGCAGUGAUUGUCGCAAGCUCUUACAAUUCCUCUUUUUGUCGGGUCUCGAAAGGGGCGAGGGAAAAUCAUUGUUUGGAAAAAAGAAUCCGCGAGGAGGGUAAGAGAACACUGGAGAGAGAGUG